Molecule: long non-coding RNA, 48701 nt
Filed under: Theobroma cacao (cacao)
Lineage: Eukaryota; Viridiplantae; Streptophyta; Magnoliopsida; Malvales; Malvaceae
Description: long non-coding RNA (TCAC_LNC000199)
Source: RNAcentral
UCUCACUAUGUGGGGGGGCUUCUACUGGAGUUGGGACAAGAGCAGGACUCGCGGAAGUUGUAGUUCCACUACUCACAAGAUGAGGUACCUCUUCGACCUUAGACGAAGAAGGUGGAGCCUCGGGAGAAGGUGUGGGAUGAGAAUGCUGGGCUGCCUCUAUCGAAGAUGGGAUAGGCACAGGAUCAUGUUCAAUCGAGCUACCGGGAAGUGAGAUUCAAAUCUAAACGAUCAAAAAAAUCAAACACAUUAUAACAGUGUAUUCAUCGUACAUGUCAUAACUCACACGAUGAAUAACAUAAAACCUCAUACCUCAAAACGGUCGUUCAACUGAUCGACAAUUCGAUCCUUCAGCCUUUGCAGUGAGUGCUGGAUAUGCUCAUGCAGUGACUGUGUCUGUAUCUACAUCACUCACUGGAUCUCCAACUGCAUUGACUGCUGGAUCUCUAACUGCAUUAACUACAUCUGCAUCUGCAUUGCCCGCUGGAUCUCCAACUGCAUUGACUGUUGGAUCUCCAAUUGCAUUGACUGCAUCUGCAUCUGUAUAUUCAUCUGUAAGGACUGGAAGUCUUUCUUCCACUAUGUCCGCAUCUUUUGUAGCUCUCCCUUAAUAUUCGUAGUCAUUUGUGGAUGCAGCGCCCAGUUGCGCAUCUCAGCAUGAGGGGUCGUACCCGAAGCAAGAGGAGGGGCAGCAAAGAAGCAAGACGAUCAGCAACAGGAGUAGUAGCAUGAUGAGCAGCAGGAGAUGCACCAUGAAGAGUUGCACCGGGAGAAUGAGGUGCCCCAGCAGCACCUCACUUGGAAUAGACAUCCUCGUCCGCGGUGCCUCUCCGCUUAACGGCUCGUCGUACUAGACUUUUUCCUUUACGAUUCAUUAUUUUCCUCUUUUGUUGGGGACCGAAUUUUGGCCGACCCUCCAACUUUCAUAAUGGAAUGUAUUGCUGCCCCUCGGAGAUAUUGACCUCAAUGUCCGCCCAGUAUGCAGUCAACAUAUCUUCUGUCAUUGGCUCCAAUGUCCUUACUGCCCAUAACUGCACCAAAACAUACAUUGUCAUUAGGUAUAACCCUUGCUACCCUAUGACAAUCAAAAUAAAAAUUAAUAAAAUAAAAAAAAUAUGGUUUUUUUACUCACCUUGCCCUCUCUCUCCAAACUUGCAAUAUUGGCGUGGAAGCUUGAAGGCCUCUCUUUACAUUGCCAUUUAAGCAUUCUUAACCAAAUCUAUCCGGACUGCGGCUGCCUUUCGAACAAGCUUCUGAUUUUAGGUAUUACUUCCAAUGCCCAAAGCUGCACAUCAAUUGCAUAACAUUUUUACUCACCUUAUAAAUUCUUAUGCAAACAGAAUAAUGAUAAUGAUAAACAUUAGGCUAUGGCAGACUACCUGAAACACCCAUAUGACUCCGUAAAGGUGGUAGCGCUUCUUCUUUGCUUUGCCCGUAGCAAGAGGUUCGAAACCCCUCAGUAGGUAAUCCACGGUCAGACUCCACACAUAUGUGCCCCAUGGGAAUGCAUUCCACUCGUUGAUGUUCUCGACCAACGACAACAACCAUGGAACCACAGAUCGUCUGUAGUCUUGACCGAAUAAAACAUUCGUCGCGAUCAAGAUGAGGGCCAUCUUGCUCGUGUUUCCCUCCUGCUGAAACUGCCUUCCCUUCAACGUAUCUAAAACCUAUUGGAUCUUCACCUCCUUCCCUGGUCCCAAUAUCUUAGGUGAAUUCCUCCAGGAAGGGCCUCGUAUCGAUUGACAAUGAGGGUUGGUAGGGGACCAAACUUCAGUCUUGUGACCAGACAGAACUCCCUCUUAGAAAAGUGAGCUUUUGUUUUCCCUAUUGUGAACCAUAACUUUGCCUCUGUGGCAUCGGGUUCAUUGAUUUUGCGCAGCAUUAGAUUGUGCACUAGACUGGCGCAGAAUAAACCAUCGUCUGCUUCGACAUCCAUCAUGUGCCCGAAGCAUGUUCUCUUAAAGUUUUCCAGCUCAUUCACUUGACACAGCAUCUCACGUAUCACGUGUAGAUGCGACCACUUAUAGUGGAUGUUAAUGGGCGCAUUGAACCCCCACUAGUGCCUUGGCACACAAAGCAAGGACUCCACGUUUUCCUACUCUGUUCCUGUGCUGCCAUCUGCAACAUAAAACAGAUAACAUUCCCAUUUUAGUCAUGUCAAUACCAUCAUUGUAGAUUAACAAAAAAAACUAGAGGAAUUUUUGAAAAAUGACCAUCCUCAUAAGCUCACUCAAAAAAUAACCCUAACAAUAUUUUUUAUUGUUUUUAGACAUUCCUGAAACAGAAUAAUUAAUCCAAGUGUGGAGCAUGGAUUAUUAAGUAAAUCAACAUAUACACAUUAAAGCAUUACAGUUGACCCAAAAUAAUAUAGAAUGAACCCAUGCAGAUAAAUUUCAUGCAGUUAUGACACUCAUGCAAUUUCCUACAACAAUAGUCACGCAAUGCCUAAUCAAUUAGUCACGCAAUUACUAACAUUAAAUCACGCAAUGAUUUAUAAACAAGUCACGCAAUUCUAAGAACAACUAAUCGAGUCAUGCACACACUAACUGACGCCAUGCUUGAACAAUAUUCACGCAAAACAUAGAAACCAGUCACACAUUGACUUAUCAAUCAGUCACGCUAAGUUGAACCCUUGUUCAAUCACGCAACCCCAACGUGACCCCAUGCCAAAAUCCGUUCAUGCAAAAGGUGUCAACCACCUAAGCACGCCCUAACUCACGCAACAUCUAAACCCUCAACCGAAUUCCUAACACAUACAUAUCAACCAGUCAUGCAUGGCUGGUCACCUUUCCACCCCUAAACAUUAACAAUACCACCUUCAUGUUUAUAUUCAAAAAUUUCAAACAACAAAAAUAUCAAUAUGAACGUGCAACAUGUAUAGGUUUAUGCUAAAAAACCUUAACCCUAAACACGAUCAAUAACCAUUUUGUCAAAAAGUUCCACAUGAUACAAAAUAAAAUAAAUAAAUUCAUAAAAAAAUAUUAUACCUUUCUCAACGUAAUGUCAACUUCCUCACACUGCUCAAUAUGUGAACUACCUUUGUACGAAUAAUAACCACUCCAAAAGGCUCCUACCACUGCCAAAAUGCUCCGAAGUUGAACUAUCGAGGAAUGCUUUUGCAGACUUGCUUCUGAGGAUAUGUACGGUCUCUCGAUGAAAAUCGAAGAGUUGUGGUCCACAUAAAGGAUAUACUUGACCCGUUAAUAGGUUUCGGGUUGAGAUGCGGAGCCUAACGAAUGAGUCGGUUUCAUUAAGGAUAAUUUUAUCAUUUUUUUUCUCUUGAUUAAAAAUAGUUAAAAUUAUAAAGAAAACCAUUCUCAAAAACGUCUUAUCCCUGAAGUCCAUUUAUGAAAAGCACUCAAGCUCAAACUAAGUUACAAAAAUAAGGGCCCAAAAGCAGCCUGCAUUUAAUAGACACAGCAAGGCCCUCGAGUAAGCCUUAAGAUCAAAUUCAAGUUACACUUAUCUGUAAUUUGUUGUUAAAAUCUUAAAAGUUAAUACAUAUAACCAAUAUAAUUCAAAUGAGGGAUAUAUAGGCUUGCGCAGUCCUAGUCAAGCCGCCCGAACCGCAGACGGCUCCUAAUUGGUUCAUUACAUACCGACAAUUGCCUUAUGAUAUGCUUUAGCAGCUCGCAUCUAGCACCGUUUAACUAUGCUGUUUUUGGCUGUUCUGUCUGUUAUUACUUAUUAUUAGUGAUUCUUAUCAGAAUGUGUUGUACGUAUUCAGCUAAGACUUCGUUUUGAUCGCCAAGCCAUCUUUGGAAUACAAUGUAAUUAUCUAUAUAUUGAUUCUCUAGCUAAUACUUCAUGAACUCUCUAACAGUGAACAAAACCGCGACAACCGAUUAGCAAAAUGGAGCGUCUUCCUCAGGAGAUUGUUGUCGACAUACUAUCAAGGCUUCCCAUUCCAAGUUUAGUGCAAUCCAAGUCCGUGUGUCGAGCCUGGCGUAGCUUGAUACGAGAUCUAGUGCUUGUCAACAAGCAUAUCUGGCGCAUGAUUCAGAACGAUCCAAGUUUCAUUUUACAAAGCUAUAACCCCAUGCAAAACCAGCUUUAUUUUGGAGAUUUCUCUAGUCAAAACGAUGGAAACGUGAUCAUGAAGAAACUUGCUAUACCACCCCUGCCUAAAUUCCAUGUGGUAGGAUCAUGUAAUGGAUUGCUAUGCUUGCAUACGUCUCAGCAAAGCUUUGAAAUCUGCAUUUAUAAUCCUUUUACCCGGGAUUAUACAGAGUUGCCAAAGCUAACAGAGCACCCUAGAUAUAAUGUGGGAGUGCGAGGAUUUGGUUUCGAUCUUACCACAAAGGAAUACAAAGUUGUCGAGAUAUCAUAUCAAAUAAGAACUUGUGGAGGCUCCUUUCCCCGUAUUGCUUGAUCUACUAAUUCUAUCAUUCGAGCUCCGGUUACUUCACCUGAUCCAAUUGAAGCGGUGGUUCAUAUUUUAACUCUUGGUAGCCCCACAUGGAGAAAUUUAGGAACCGUGCCAUUCCAUUUGAUGACGUCGCAGCAAUCUCAGGUUCUAAUCAAUGGGAAACUUCAUUGGGUUGCUUAUCCUAACAGAAAUGAAAAAAAUAAUCCUAUUAUAUCCUUUGACCUGGCAACUGAGCAAUUCCAGGAGGUCCCUAGGCCUGAUUGCAUUAGCUUGUCCGGCAGGCGAUUUGAGCAACUUGUGGCUCUACGAGGUUGUCUCUCCUCGGCCUCUUAUCAUGAUGAUGAUGAACGGUUGGAGAUUUGGGUUAUGAAGGAAUAUAAUGUCAAGGAGUCUUGGAGCAAAGAAUUUAGCAUUGGAGCUUACGUGCCACCAAUUUUGCAACAAGAUGAUACGUUCAACAAUUCAAGGUUUUAUAUGUAUAAAAAAUGCAUGCGAGUCUUAUGGCAGUUGAGAAGUGGGGAGAUCUUGUUCGAGUGCAGAAAUAAAGCACUUGUUCUCUAUGAUCCCCAUUGCAGAACAUUCAAGGAUCUUCAUCUUACAUUUGAAGGAAUUUCAAAGUAUUUCAAAGUAGUUGUUCAUGUUGCAAGCCUCAAUUGGAUUAAUACCUUCAUCAACACCUGAAGGGUGAAAUCAUAAAAGAAAAAAAAAACAUGUUUUUUUACUUUUGUUAUAUGCAUGGAUUUGUGGAGGAUGUGAAUGGCAAGUUGGCACCAUCACUUUGGGAAUAGUUACUCCACAAAUCCAUGGACUUAAAACCUUUCUUCUUGAUGAGAUUGAUCUUUGCUUUUAUGUUCAUCCACUUGUACUUUGUACGUACCUUUGCACUAGUUGCUGAAUUUAUAAGUUUUUGAUCAUUUUCUAUACCUGAGGGAUUACACCAAUAUCCUCAACAAAUUCCACUUAGAUCAUAUAUUCAUCUAUGCUAAUGUCCACACUCAGCUAAAGAGGCAGGCGUAGUGUUGGAUGUUAUUUAGGCAAUUAGGUGCUUGAGAUGUUCUCUACCAGUAUUUGCUACUUAUUUAUCUUCUUCGAGUUAAUAGGUGCUUGGAAUAAUUGAUUAUUUUUUUCCUAAAAUAUGCUAGAGCCCAAACCAUCAAUCAAAAUAAUCCAAGUAAAAGAGAUUAAACUUUCUCACUAGAAGUUUUUAUUAUUCAAACACAUUGUCAUUAUUUUAAUUUAUUUUCAAAUUCAAAUCAUUUAACUUCCUAAAAUAAACCAAUAGGUUUAUGACAAAGGGGUUAAAAACUAAAACCAGCCAUCUUACUGGAGUUCUCCUUAUCCCAAAGGGGUUAAGCCAAUGGAUUUAACUUCCUAAUCAAUGAGAAGGGGAAUUUAGUUAAAAUUUUCAAUAGAAAUUAAGUAAACAAGUUUGAAAAAUCAUAUCGUAUUCAUUGAUGAAUAUCUUUUCUUCUCUUUCUUUCUUUUGUUUACUUAUUGAAGACAAAAUAACAUAUUCAAUUAAAUCGAUUGAGGUGUACCAAAAAUUGAUUAAAAAGUUAUAUUUAUAUGGAAAAUUAAAUUCAUUUUACGAUUACUAAUGAUAAAAUAUAUUUUGUCAUAACUGGUUGAAAUAAAGAUUUAAAUAUAAUAAUAAUGAUAAAACUUACUAUUGCAAUUGUUUUCUUCAAGAUAACAAGUAAUUAAGAGCAAUGUAUAACUCCAAUUGCUUGUCUUUUCUUUUGUAGACCAAUACUAUAAUUGAAAAUUUUCAUUGACGUCACCAAAAAUUCAGUUAUGCUUCUAGGCCCAAAAGGCACUACUCUCUGAAGUUUCGUUUCCUAUUCUGAUUGGAUCAAAAUGGGUUACCCUCGUGGCCCCGUUUCUUCCACCACCCACCCACCCGCCAUUUCUCUUUCCAUCUUUGGGAACGAAAGAAGACAAGAGAAUAGCUAAACAUCUGGCGUGGCUCCACCUCGCCUAGGAAAUACCGAAAAUGGAACAUAAUAGAUGUAUAUGUCAAGUGUUUAGAACAGAACAGCAGAGAAAAACGCACCCCUAAGAACAAACUUCUACAUAGCCAAAGAAACCUUAAUUCCUGUUGAAAUUCAUUGCCUUGUUCCGAUCGUGGAAUAUGUUCUCCAAAUAGGUACGUUGACCGUAUGAAAUCAGUUUCCUUCUGUUCUAACUGAUCUUCACCAUGUUGAUUAUUCGAUAGCACUUUUCAGUUUGUCUUUGGAAUUUGUUUGAAUCAUCUGCUUAUUACGUUUUAUUUUCUGUAUUAAAACUGGGUUUAGAUAAGCUGAAUUCUUUUUGUGAAUGAUCGAGCUAGUGAAGGGGUUUCAGCCGCUGAACAUGUCGAUCAACUACUUGACAUAAUUUUCCAAUUUAGAGUCAGUCCAAAAGGGUCUUUGAUCAGAUGCUGACAAUCUUUUUCGUUUGUAAGGGGUGAAACCAAAAACUGCAUGAGUAGAAAACCUUAUUAGCUCAGUCUUCCAGACUUUAGGUGCAAAUAAUUGGCAUUCCAUUCCUUGGUCUCCUAAUAAUCCCGGUGACUGAUAUCUUUGUGUUAAAUGGUAUAUUACUCGUUAAGGGAGAGUGAUCGAGUUGGGGUCUUUUGUUUUAUUUAAUUAUUUCAAAGGGGGAGACGGUUUUUCUGGUUGUUUUUUUGGUAUGGCCUGACAUUGUAGUUUUAAAAACACUCGAUGUGAAAAUAAGCAUUGCUGGAUGUGAAGAAUGCACCCUAUAUGAGUAGUAAGGAGCAACAAUACUUAGACAGGAAUUCAUAUGAUCAGAAGAUGAUCUUGGCCAUGUUAUAAAGUAAGACAUGUGAAUAACAUUUUUUAGUUUCAUGUAGGUAUAAAUAGUGACGUUGUUAUUUUAUUUCCAUAUUGUUUUUAUUUUCAUUUUUUAAUACAAGGGAUAGCUGUAAUGACCGAUUUAUUAUUUUGCUUGAUUCCAUAACUUGAGAAGGCAAAUAUUUUACAAUGAGAUGUUUCUUUGGUGAAUUCCAUACUUCCAUACAGUACUACUAUGUCAUUGCUCAUUACAUUUUUCUGUUUAAUCAAUAGGUUGAUGUUGUCGAAGUGCAGUAUGUUUAACUAUUGAUCACCAAGCCGUUUACAGAUAUUGUGCCUUCUAAAUUUCUACUUAUUAAUGUACUUACUUUUCUUAAAAACAGUUUAAAGAAAGAACAAACUUGUAAUGCAGACCAACUAGAAGGAUGGAGUGUCUUCCUCAGGAUGUUGUCCUUGACAUACUAUCUAGGCUUCCUAUAACAUCUUUGGUGCAAUCAAAGUCUGUAUGCCGUUCGUGGAGAAGCAUAAUACAAGGCUCACUACUUGCUAAUAAGCAUUUAUCACACAUGUCUGAUUAUGAUCCAGGCAUCAUCUUUCAAAGUCACUGGCCCAGCCAAAACCAGUACUACUUUGUAGAUUUUGCUGCUUACCCUGAAGGAAACAAAAUCUUAAAGAAAAUUUCAUUUUCAACAAAGCAUGCUAAUUUGGUAGGUUCGUGUAAUGGCCUGCUAUGCUUCUGCAAUGCUUCACAAAUCCACAUUUGCAAUCCUUUAACCAAGGAUUCGAUAGAGCUGCCAAAAUUGUUGAAGGGUCCAGGAGAAGUGGGAAUUUUAGGAUUUGGUUUCAGUCCAACCACAAAAGAAUAUAAACUGAUUGAGAUAGUUUAUCAAAGAAAAAGGCCUGGAGUCUGGUCCCAUGUUGCUGUGUCUAAUCCAUUUCAAGCUGAGGUUCGAAUUUUAACUCUUGGUGGCUCCAGAUGGAGAAGUUUAGGGAUGGUACCUUACAGAUUUAUUCGGCAACCAUCACAAGUUAUGGUCAGUGGGAGACUUCAUUGGAGAUCUCAACUUGGAAAAUACAAUAUUGAUAACCAGCUCAUAUCGUUUGAUUUAGCAGCUGAGACAUUCCAGGAGGUCUCUAAGCCUGAUUGCAGGAGCUUUAACAGGGGUUUUUAUGAACUGAUUAAUCUUCAAGGUCAUCUCUCUGCAGCCGCUUCCAAUGCUAGUGGGGGAUUAGAGAUUUGGGUUAUGAAGGAAUAUAAUAUUAAAGAGUCUUGGAUCAAAGAAUUUAGCAUUGGAGGUUACCUGCCAAAAGAAUUACAACGGAUCAAUGCAAGGAUCCAUUCCCCUAGAUCAGUUUUUCGAGCCAUAUGCCGGUUCAGAAGUGGUGAGAUCUUACUAGAGCAUAGAAGCAAAGCACUUGUUCUCUAUGAUCCGGUGCAUGAAACGUUCAAGGAUCUUACAUUUGAAGGAGCCCCGAACUGGUUUAAAAUGGUUGUUCAUGUUGGCAGCCUCAUUAGUAUCUAGGUACUAACAUAACAAAGAAACUGUUGUUUUCUGUGAGUUUUCUUCUUGUUGAAACUAAACUUUGCUUUUCCUAUAAUCUGUACUGCCUUUUAAAUGGUUGUUAAACUAAGGAGUUUUCUUGCAGUCUUUAUUUUCUAGGAUUACAUUGAUGCUUUCGAAACUCAUCCAUCUUAGAUUCUACUGCCUGUUGCGUAGCUCUUGAAGCAUUUUUCUACUGUCCCCAACUGCCCCUUGUUAUGGUUAAUUAAUUAUUAUGACUUUCUGAAUUAACCAGUUAAUGAAUUCAUCGUUAUGCUCCUAGACUCAAAGCCUAACUGGGAUCAGCGACCUAUUAGCCCACCACUAUGUGCUUGGGAGAUAGACGACCCUUUUCCAGUAAGGUUACGUGUUACCCAGUUUACAAUUUGCACGAACACGCAAAUCAGUUUCCCGCAAACCAGCUACAAAGGAAUCUCGCGUGCUUGAACCGGUUUCCGUAACAUUCUCCGCACUAAUGAAAUCAUUACAGUGAAAUGCAAUCAGGAUCAUCCGCUCAUUUCUGUGAACCAUGUUGGCAUGUAUCUAGAUGUCCUUUUCCUUAGGAAUACGAUAGCUGAAAGCGAGUUCAAAAGAAGCAGGUUUGCAACAACAGACCAACCAGCAAUAAGGAGCAUCUUCUCAGGAUAUUGUCCUUUACAUACUGCCUACGCAUCUUUGGUGCAAUCAAAAGUCUGUAUGCCAAGCUUGGUCAAGCUCAACAGGUAGCCUGGUUCUUUUUAACAUAAGCAUUAUCAGCUAAGGUUGACAAUGAUCCAGGAUUGACCGUACAUGAUUUGUCCUUCCCAAAUCAGCUCUCUUAUAAGAUUUUUUUGGCUAAUAAGAAAGGAUAUUAACUUGAUACUGAAGAAAAUUCCAUCCCAGCAAUCUAUGCUUAGGUAUAUUUUUGUGGGUCAAUGCAAUCACUUACUAUGCUUCUAUGACUCUUCCAAAUGCAAAGUAUCCUAGACAUGUGGGAGUUCUAGUAUUUGGUGUAUAGAUAAGUAUAACCAAGGACAAAGGAAUAGAAGGUUGUCGAGAUAGCAUGUAAAAUAUAGCACAUACAUUACUUGAUGCAGUUUGAGGUUCGCAUUUAAGUGGCUGGGAGUCCUGAUGGAGAAAUUGAGGAGCAGUACCUUACCAUCUUCUUUCAGCAGCAAUCGUAGGUAAUGGUCGUUGGGAGACUUCAUCACCUUUUUCGAGAAAUUCCACAAAAUCCUUAAACCUGAUUUUGAACGGUAAGAAUGAUACUAUUGUUAUGAAAUAUAAACUAAGAGAAUAAUUAUAAAAAAAGUAUUUUGAGAAAAUAAGAAGAUUUUAUUGAAAUGUGUAUUUAUAAAUGAAGCGAGAGACCUAUUUAUAAAUUAAUAAUCCAUUCUCUAGAUAGAAUUUACAAAAUAAAAGUAAUACUAAAAGAAUAGAUUGAUAGAUUAAAUUCUAAUCUUAAUCCAAUUUAAAUAUACAUAACAAAAUGGAUAUUCACAUAUAUGUUCAUAAUAAUCCUCUUGAAUAUUUAUUUUAUUAAGAAUACGUAUAGCUAUAACCUUUCAAGGAAAAAAACCUUAUGAAAAAAAAUCCGAGUGAAAGAAAAAGAGUAUAUAAUACUUUUAAAGAAUAUGCUUUUGAAAUGCUAUCUCAUUAAAAACUUUAUCAAGAAAAACUCAGUGAAAAAAACCUUAAUGAAAGAAAAGAGUAUAAUAUAUUUUUUAUUCCCCUGAUGAUUGCAUUAUUUAAGAUCUUUAAAACGACGUAUUUAGAUUUUUAAAGUAAUACAUUCCAAUCUUUUGUACCAACUAUUCAAAUGUCGUAGUAAAAAGCACUUUGGUGAAUAAAUCUACUAAAUUGUUACUUGAACAAAUUUGUUGAACACCAAUAUCACCUUUUUUUUGGAGAUCAUGAGUGAAGAAUAAUUUUAGCGAAAUAUGUUUUGUUCUAUCGCCUUUGAUGUAUAUUUUCAUUAACUAUGCUAUGCAAGUAGUAUUAUCUUUAUAUAAUGUUGUUGGAAUUUCAUUUUUAGUUGACAAUUCACAUGUUUCUUAAAUAUAUUGAGUUAUAGAUUUUAACCAAAUACAUUUAUAAUUUGCCUCAUGAAUUGCUAAAAUUUUUACAAGGUUCGAAGAAGUAGCAAACAUAGUUUGUUUUACAAAACACUAUGAAAUAAUUGUACCUUCACAUGCAAAUAAGUAACUUGUCUGAAAUCGAGUUUUGUGUGGAUCAGAUAUAUAUUCUGCAUUUGCAUAAUCAAUUAAAGUGGAUUUUGGUACAUUUGAGUAAUAUAAGCCUAUAUCCAUUGUUCCUUAAAGAUAUCGAAGCAUAUGUUUAAUUUCAUUCUAAUGUCUUUGAGUUGGAGAAGAAUUAUAUUUGCUAAUAAAUUUACAAUAAAUAAUAUAUCAGGUUGUGUAUUACUAACAAGAUAGAUUAAGUGCUAUAAUUGCACUGAGAUAUGAUACUUUGGACCAAAAGGUUCAUCAUCCUCAUGAGGUCGAAAAUGGUGUUUUUUCCAAAAAGUUCAAACCAUGACGUGUCACAUAUUCAAGACAUGACAUGUCACAUGUGCUCACCAUGCUGUGUCACACGAUCCUAACUUGCUUUGCCACAUAUUCUCAUCAUAUUGUGUCACACAUUCCCACCAUGUCGUGUCACAAACUCUGAAUCUUGCUGUGUCACAGUCGUGCCACAUAUUCUUAACGUGUCGUCUCACACAUUCUCACCCUACUGUGUCACAGAUUAUCUCCAUGACGUGUCACAAACUCUGAAUCUUGCCAUGUUAGAUAUGCUCACGAUGUCGUUUCACAUAUGCUCACCAUGACGUGUCACAUUCUCACACUGGCAUGUCACAUAUUCUCACCAUUUUGCCUCACAUAUUUCUUCUAAGUCAUGUCACAUAUUCUCACCCUAUCGUGUCACAUAUUCUCUUCAUGGUGUGUCACAAACUCUAAACCUUACCAUGUCACAGCCGUGUUACUUAUUCUUACCAUGAUGUAUCACACAUUCCCAUCAUGUCGUGUCACACAUUCCCACCAUGCCGUUUCACAAACUUUAAACCCUGUCAUGACACAACUGUAUCAUAUAUGACCCGCUGUAGCACAACCAUUUCGUGUUUUAGAUUCACAUCUUCCUCCUUUCGAUUCACCACUGUAUCAGAAAUUUCUAAUUUUACAUCAUUUUCGAAGUUUUGGAUUCAUCACGACAUGUUCCUCAUUCGGUUUAAUAUCAUCCUUCUUGUAUUAUUUAAACGUUAUGUCUAAAAUAUCUGAAAAAUCACCUCCUGUAAUAUGAUUUUGUUUGUUUUGUUUUGCACAAGCUUCUCAAAACAAAAAUGGAUGUUUUUGCGCAAAAUUAAAGAGAACAAAUUCUUUACAUAUUUAUUUUCCCUAAUAUGCGCGUGUAUGAGAGUAUGCGUCAAUGAAUAUGUCUCAUUAAAGGAAUUUCUGUCUUAAAAUCUUUUCUUUUGGCUUAAAAUAGUUAAAAUUAUGUGAAAGGUUAUUUUUAAAAACACCUUAUAUUUUAGGACUAAAAAAAAAAUUACCUUCAAAAAAAGGUGGUGAAAGGACUCUUUUGUUCGUGAGCCUUGAGCCAUCAAGUGAUUGCUUUCUCCACCGUGCUUGGCCUUGAGUAACCCGUUCUUGCUGUGUGCACUACUACCUUGUGACACCUCUUUCAUUGAAGAUUUGAGAACUUUUUCUUCUUCCGAAAACUUCAGGGGUAGCCUUGUGACCAUUAAUCUCCAUCUCUUCCUUUUCUGGUAUAUUAAUGCCCUCACGCACUAAGAUGAGGAUUCUGGCGAAAUCGAAGCGCUCAAGGUUGGUGGUAGCGCUACAAAUUUUGAUAACCCUCCUUUAUAAUCUACCAAUUCUAUUGAACACCUUUCUAUGCCAGAGAUGGAUUGGGAGGUUUUCAAUUUUGACCUAUUUUAGUUUCCCUUUCUCAUCAUCAAAGUAAAGAAAGGGGGAAAUGGGAUCGAACUAAAUGGAGAACAUAUCUAGGUAGUUCUUGAGGAUUAUUUUCAUUUCCUGUUCAUCCCUAUAAGUAAUGAGAGUUUUUAAUUCACCCAAAGUUUUGAUGUAGAGAGAGAUUCCCUCAUAAAACAGUCUUGAUUGUAUUAGUUUAAUGGAUAAGUUUUCCCACAUUAAAGCAACUACAUUACGUCUGACCCAUUCCAUGUCAUUUUCUGGAAUAUGAACAUUAAUACCAGUCGGCUCCUUUUGUACCUUUGUCAUAAGCUUCUCAUUAAUGAUCUUUUGCUUCGCUCUGGAUUUGUUUUCCCUGAGCUUUAAGAGGUCAAUGCUUCUUCAUUCGACAUCUUAACUCCCUCUUUGCCUUGCAGAUAUAAAAUCGAACUUGAACACAUAAAAUUUAAAGGUUGUAAUCGAUUCACAAGUUGAGUUUUAAUUUUGAACUUGAAACUUUAAGCUUUAAUUUCUCUCACUAAAAAUCAAAUCAAACAUUUUUUAUAAUAAUAGGCAUGAGACAUAAUUUCACAUUUUUAAAAAAUUUAAACAGAGAAAGAUUUUUGAAUAGUUAUGUUUGUUCAAAUUAUUAUAUUUGUUGAAACACUUAUAUUUAUUCAAAAUGUUGUCUAUAAAAAAUAUAUAUUUUUGUUUAUAAAUAACACUUUCUGAUUUCCUAAAAAUAUACAAAAACAGUUUACAAUCACUUUCUCCUUCUUUGUGAAAUACUUUUUAAAUUAUUUUUAUACUAUUUUGUUAGAAAAACAUUACAAUAAUUUGAUAAUUUUAUCAUAUGAUAAUAAGUGUUUAAUGAUUGAUUUCGUAAGUAUAAAACAUAGCCAAUCAUUGAAUUUUAUUGUAAUUCUUGAAAUUCAUCAAUUAUUACCCUUUUGUACACCGAUACGGAUAUAAAUAAAGCUUUAAAAAUAACGCCAUUGAUACAUGCCUUAAAAUCUUUCUCUAAUAUUUUCGAUUUUCAAGUCCUAUGUUCUAGCAAGUGAGUUGCGGUUGGACAAAAGUAAUUUUCAAGUUUUCUGCCUGUUAAAAGGUGGUGGGGCCUCAUUGGAGUAUGGAUGCGUAUGACUGGUUUCGUAGGGGCUAUGAUGUAGAACAUCGAAGGAUCUUAAAUCUCAAGGAAUGCCUAACUGGUUUGACACAACCAAUCUUGUUGGUGGCCUUAAUAGAAUGAUUGAUACCUUUGUUAGACAUGUGAGCAGGAAAAUUUUGAAGCAAAAUGCAUCUUCUGCUGUCAGUUUUUGCCCACUUUGAUGGCUAACUUAAUAUGGCUGUGCACCAAACUGAGUUAUUGCUACUGUAAAUUCAUUUACAACCUCAAUUUCUUUCUGGGAUAUCACCAUCGCCAUGCCAGAUUCUCUUAGGAGAAGGUGAACAAUUGAAAUGUUGAAAAUAUAAAAGAAAGAUUCAAGGCGAUGCGACAAUUACCCACCUUCGCCGUUGCCUGCGGCAAAACAAUCGGCUCUUGCAUGCUGAUUGGCUUGCUAUUUACUAGCUCAGCUUUUCCAAAUAGUCUCUGCCACACGCUGCAGCAAAACUUGUACUAGCAGUAGUAUAGCUUGAGCUUUUGUGCAUGCCGUUAUAACACCUUUUCUGUAUGGUUUUUUCCCAAUUUACUAUAACCUUGGAAUUGUUUAUACAGAAAAUAUACACUGUUUUUGCAUCUAAAUGUCCAACACUGCAUCUUUAUCCACCGUGGCAUUGGUUUUUUUCCCCUUUCUUUUUCAUCCUGUCCUGUGCACGGCAGUUUUGGUAGUGUUGAUGAGCAAGAAAAUGGUGUGUAAAACUGUACAAGCACAUGGUUGCAUCUUUCUGAAGUGACCCUGAAAUUUUGUUUGACGAAAUUUCAAAGAAAGUCUUGGGGUAAUAGACGGGCUAAAGUUAAGGCACGUACCGAUCAAAUGGCUUUUGAAAUGACCACAGCUUGGCCUGGAAGCAAAUUAAUCAAAGGAUCUCAUCAUAUUCUGUAUGGUACCCUGCAAAGUCUAGCUCCCUAGCACUUUUGGCCCGCUGAAAUCUCAUUGAACACAUUGAACCCUUUAGUUCACAAAUAAUUUCUUGGAAAUAUUGUUGCAAUUAUCUUUUUUUUUUCCUAUCAAAUUGAGCAUUUAUUUUAAACUCGGAUGUUUGGUACAUAUGACAGCAAGAAAUAAAAGAUUAAUAUAAUCAGAGCAAAAUGAGAUUUUCAUACUGUGAUAAAUAUUUGGUCAAAACUGUGAGAUAAAAUUUUGUUUACCGAAGAAAAAAUAGAUUUAAUAGAGAGAACACAAGACUGAGUCAUGCCGUGUUGGGCAUGAGGUAAGCCACAUGAAUCGUGACUGAACAUUUUCUCUUAUUUUAUUUAAUUUUCAUUUUUUGGAAGAGGGGGAUAAAAUCAUGGCUCUUUAUUCGCCUUGAGGGCCUAAUGCUACCUUUUUGUUGUAGAAACAGCAGCAGGGAGGUAAUUUCUUGGAUCACCUUCGUAGUAUUUCCAAGAAAAGAUAUGACCCAUAUUGUAAAAUAAACGGCUCUGUGCUAUUUAUUUACUAGCAGAUGCAAAGUGCAACGAAACACAUAGAAAUCAGUAAUGUUACUAUACCUGUUGUAAUCUUCCUGGAAGCUAAUUCUCAACAUGUUCUUCCAAACUCUGGAAUCCAACUUUUCAUGGAUCUAGUGCUUUCAGCUUCCCUCGCUAGACUUUACAACAAGGAUACAAACAAAGCAGAAAGUUACGGGAACUUUCGGGGUUCGUUUAGCUAUUUCUCAGUCUCAUCUUUUACUUCCAUUGCCACACAUAUCAUCACGUCAUUUUAUUAUUUGUUGUGUUUUUUUUUUUUAUUUACCUUGAAUUUAUCGUCUUGAGUGACUCUUAUUUUGUAUUUUUGGACCUUUAUAAUUAAAAGGGGCCCUUUGUAAAAAGUCUUAUUGAUCGGUAUGAUCACUACCAGCACUUUUUGAACAAAAUCCUUUUGCGGGGGGAGGGCAGAUACAUACAGAGGCAUCUGUCUUUUGAAGAAGAAAGCAAGAGAAAAUAAUAUUUGUUUAUUGCUAUUCCUUUAUUUUAAAUUUGUCAAAUUUUUUACCUUCAAUUUUCAAGACUUAAUGUUGCAGGGUCACUAUCAGUAGGGCCAUCUUUGCAUUGACAUGGAAUUGAUUCAUAAAAUUUGCUUUUUCUGCAUUCAUAUUUUGGCCAUAUAUGCUUAAUUGGACGGUGCAGAUUGUUGUGUCUAUCAAUUCCCUUUUGCUUUGUCCCGGUAAUCAAUGGAAAAAUUAGAACUUUUCUACAAGGGAGUUUGUUCAAUGAUGGGUUGCUAUAGAAACACUAAUUAAUUUCCUUGUGGUUUCCGUCUCCCCUUUUAUUUUCUCUUCCUCUUUUAUAAUAUUAAUUUGAUCUCAUCAAAGUCUACCAUGUUUAUCUUCAACUUAGCUUUUUGAUCCCCAAACCUACUCUUUGUAACCCAUGUGUUUUCUAAAUCUCUACCUAGCCAUGGACUCGGAUGAUGAGAAACAUGCUAAAAGAAGGAAAACCAACCAUGACGAUGAUCAGCCACAGACAACUGGGAUGGAAAUCCUUCCACACGAAAUCAUCGUCGACAUACUUUCAAGGCUACCGAUCACGUCGUUGGUGCAAUUCAAGUUUGUAUGCAGAGGAUGGCGUGCCUUAGCUCAAGAUCCUCUUCUUGCUGGUAUGCAUCUUUCCUGGAAAGCUGAUAGCAAUCCGUGCCUCAUCCUUCACUGUGAUUUUCCCAUCCGAAACCAGCUUUAUUUUGUAGAUUUAUCUGCUCACAACCAAGACAAAGAGAAGGUAAAAAGGUUAUAUGUACCUUUCCAGGCUACCAUGCCUGAAUUUGAUGUAGUAGGAUCUUGCAAUGGUUUAUUAUGCUUAUCUGAUUCAUUAUAUAACGAUGCACUAUAUGUUUACAAUCCUUUUACUAUGGAUUAUAUAGAGCUGCCAAAAUCUAGGCAAUAUCCAGAUCAGGAAGUAGUGUUUGGCUUUGGAUUUCAUCCAAAAACAAAGGAAUACAAGGUAGUUAAGAUAGUUUACUAUAGGAAUACAAGUAGUAGCUACAAUCGUGCCCGAAGAAUCAUUUAUCCGCAAUCAGAUGUUCAAAUUUUCACUCUGGGAAGCUCUGCCUGGAGGAGUCUGGGAAAAGUAUCAUACCAGUUUGUAAGGCGCCCUUCAGAGGCUUUGGUUAGUGGAAGACUUCAUUGGGUGAGUAGGCCACGCAGAUAUUACCCUGCUCGCCGGCUUAUGUCGUUUGACUUAGCAGAUGAACAAUUCCGAGAGGUCCCGAAACCCGAUUGUGGUGGUCUAAACAGGUGUAAUUUUCAUCUGUCUGUUUUAAGGGGUUGUCUUGCUGCAGCUGUUUAUGGAAAUUAUGGGAAAUUGGAGAUAUGGGUUAUGAAAGACUAUAACGUGAAGGAGUCUUGGAUCAAAGAGUUCAGCAUUGGAGCCUACACGCCGAAGUGUUUGAAACAGAAUCUGGACCGAGACAGACCUUUGAAGAUUUGGAAGAAUGCUUCAAACGGAAAAGUUGUUCGAGUUCUUUGCUUACUUGAGAAUGGUGAAAUCUUGUUGGAGUAUAAGAACAGAGUUUUAGUCUCCUAUGAUCCCAAGAAAGGGAAAUUUAGGGAUCUUGUAUUGCAGGGGAUACCUAAUUGGUUUCAAACAGUUGUUCAUGCAGGCAGUUUCAAUUGGAUUAACACCCCUCCUUGAUUUGUGAACGUUGCAGCAAUGAAAAAAUGGAUGCCUCUUUCCUUGUGAGUUGGCUGCUCUAUAAGAGAAAAGUGCUUUUCAUGUUUGUUUGUACUUCCUGAAUUUAGGUUGUUUCUUACCUUGAUACAUCUCAUUGUGAUUUUAUGAAUGUUAAACACAAUUCAAAAUUUGGGAAAUUUAGAUGUUGAGUUUCUGCUUUACAAACUGCAUCCAUGCACUAUUCCCUUCUGGAAUCAAAUGCAUUCCUCUUUCCCUGUAAAAGUUAGAUAACAAUUCAUCCCUCUAGGCCAAUAUGAGGAUAAUCUAACCAAACAAAGGAAGAACAGAUUUGACAAUCGUAUAACGAGACAAAGAUAAAAAGAACUCAACCACCAUCAGAACAGAUAAUUAAAAAUUCUGAUGCCUGACAAUAAACUAGUAGUAUUCAAUGGUAUGAGGGUAUUUCAAACCUUCAAGAAAAACCAAAUUUGACUGCUCUAUAUGCAUGUGAACAGCUUUUCUCUAGCUCCUAACUCACCUGCAUUAUAAUUGUACAUUAAAUAAUCAAAAAGAAGUUGCAAUAACCCUCUUUUUACAUUUUUAGUUUUUUCUCAAAUUAACUCUCACCCUCACUGUUUCAUGCAUGCCGUUAGAGUCGUCUUCAAGUUAGAGACUUAAAAUGGAAUUCAAGUGAUGGGAUUAAUAGAAACUCUCUUUCAAAAAAAAAAAAAAACUCUGAAUUGGCCCUUGCUGUUCUAGGACAGCUGGAAAGGUACGAGCCUAAACAGGGAGCAAGUUCUGAAGAAGUGUGUUCAUUUAAUUUAGUAUUAUCUUUUCCCCAAUGGGCUCAAAUUUUUUCAAAUGAGGAAUUUUUCAAUCAUAAAGAGCACAGGACUGGUAGUUCAACCACUUAACCUUGCACCUAAAAAAAUUCAUGGAAAGAGAGAAAAGUCCUCUGAUCAUGCUUUUUCCACUGAUCCAAAGUUGAAUAAAUGGCCCUAAAGUCAAGUCACAAGGGGCCUCGGAUGUGUCCUAUUGUGGCACAUGCAGAGAGAUUCCCUUCAGAAAUGGAACUCUCCCCCGUCGAAAUCUUCGAAAGUAACAAUGAUUUCCGUUUUACUUUGAAAUUUUAAACUAUUUCCACAAUCUUGCCCCAUCCUUGGCAGGUUGAAGCCGCUGUACUUUUUCUACUCUUUCUAUAACGUAUAAAUCUUUUCUGCGUCCUGUUGCCCACUAAUAAAUGAUAACAGCAAAAGAACACCAAAAAACACUGCACUAGACUAUCUCUUUGUCGCUUUUCCAUGACUAUCUGACAUCACUGGCAACCAAUGCGAGCACAAGCGCAAUCCCUGACCACAUUUUUGGCUCAGUACCCACCUACAUAUGAUCAUAUCCAAUUCAUCUAGAGAUGCCCUUUGGUUUUCACCCUAGGAACAUGAAAUGGUCAGAAAUCAGAAUGGAAAACAUUUCGGAGAAACAAUGGCCAAGGUCAUUGAUCUGCGUCCUGGGGAGUAUUGGGUGGCAAAGAAAACUAAUGCCUCCGGGCCUUCUACUGUAGGUCACAAGUUUGCAUCGGUUGACCCCUUUAAUCAAUCUUCAUCGGGUACAUUACAUAUAAUUUAUUGCUCAUAUAUGAAAAGAUUAGAUCCCAUAGUUUCAUUUGGUGUGUUUCUAAAAAUGGUUUCUAUUUUUCGAGUAAGUGCUAUAUUUCUGUUUUUCAAUCACUGGAUAAGCCAAUAGACUGCAUUAUUGCUGAAAGAAGAAUAUGCUACGGAAUUUUGAACAAAACAAAUGCACUGUGUCACUUAUCCCGCUUUGGAACUGACGACGACUAUCCCCCAAUAGCCAAAAUCUCCGGUAACGUCCAUUGAAGCAAUUGCUUAACAAUCUUACUUUCAGAAAUUCAAUCUGAAAGCAAUAGAUGUAUACUAGCUUGGCAGUGAAAAUAAUAGACUAUGGAUGCAUUAUAUGCAGUUAUUAUUGAAAUGAAGGCAAGCUAGCAUUGCACCAAGUACGAGAAGCUUUGCCUCCAGCUGCAAACUUUCAAAGAUCAUUUUAAUUUCAAGCAGUAGCAUAUCUGCAGGACCACUAGCAAGCUCUGAUUAACCUGAAACUCCCAUUAUGAAGCCAAACGUCCUAUCGCCUAUCCGUUCACAGACUAUCUUGCGCAUGGCCCAGAUGGACAGGUGGUGAUAGGCCUUGCCUUUAGUUUAACUUAGCUUUUCGGCUUCAGUGAAGGCAUCCAAGCAAGGGAAAUAUAUAGUUAGUUCAAGCUUUAAGGGAAUUAGUGUUACCUUUUGAACUUUAAAGUUUAAGCCCACUUUCAAAAGCUUGGUGUGCACCACUCUAGCUUAUGCUUUUUGUUUUUUAAUGUAGCCAGAACACAACAUUUUAUGUUCUGAACUGAGAGGAAGUGGGGAAAGGAAACGAAAAAGGAGCGCAAAUAAAGGGGAAGCGUCCGUAUCCAUUGCUCCUAUGAAAGUUUCCCUAUUUUCUUAUGGCUUUUAAUUACUUUUGGAUUUAGGUUGUGUUUCUUUGUCUCAUUCAUUUGGACUAGGCUUUACUUUUUUGGGACUGGAGAAAAUUGUAACCGGUCCUCGCCCAAAGGCCUAGCCCGCAACCUCCCCUUUUCCCCUUUUCUGCCUCCCUGUCCCAUUAAUCACUGCUGAAACACAAGUACCCCUGCCUAUUAAACCCUACCAGAAGAAUUCAGCUCGGGUAAAAUCAAUAUUUUUAGGAGAUCAGUUGUUAUAUUGAUUGUUAGAUAGAUUUGGAUUGCCGAAGGUAUGGAAAGAGAUUUAUAGGAGCAUAUGGACUAUUAUAUAGAGUUGUUGGUAUCAUAUAGUGUCGUUGCUACAAAAGCUUUGAAAUUAAUUUUGUAGCUAUACAGUGCCUUCUGUUACAAAAAAAUGUGUCAAAGUUAAGUGAUUUUGCUAAUACAUUGCCAGCAUUAUAAUUAUAUACAGAAGUUAUGAUUAAAUUAUUUGGCAAAGGCUGGUGCCUUGAUACAAAAAGGAAAAGACACUCUGUUAUGCAACUGAUAUUUGAAUUUCAGCGACAUAUUCACGAACAAAAGGUGAGCAAAAAGUCUGCAAUUGAGUUGUGGAUUUGUCAGCUUGUUGGUUUGGAGAACGCCAUGUAUUUUAAUAGGCCUUUCUUGAUCGAAGUUCCAUCCAUAGGUAUACGCCUUAAACUAGACAUACACCAACCAUGGGCAGGGCGAGGCAAAGCUUGUUUAAAAGCAUUCGGGAUAGCAAAAACAUGUAACUUCCUCGAUCUUUCCUUAUAUAUUAUGAAUUAUUAAGAAUUCAACGGGCCCCUUCCUCGCGAAUCAAAGAGGAGGCGGACCCCGUUUAUUGUUAGUAUUGUGUUUAUUUGCAAGUAGACAUAAUUUUUAUAAAAAACAAAAAAUUGUAUAGUUAAAUGUCAUCAAGAGACCUAAAUGUUGGAAUAAAUAGUGCACUUUGAAAGAAGAAAAUAAAGAUAACAAAAAGAUAAAAUACAAAAAUCAUUCAUAAGGAGGGAAAGGAUUUUACGAAUUCAUCAGUCACUGGGUAUUUUUGAUUAAAUGGUGAAGAUUGAAGACACAGAAAGUUUUGCACAUGUAUGUAUAAAGUCCUGCAUAUGUAUGUAUAGAGUGAUGCUGAUAAAUCAUAAGGUAGGAUGAAUAAGAAAGAAAUACUUUGAACUGUGGAAGAAUUAAUCCUCUGCAUUGCUUUCAAUAAAUUAUAGAGAGAUUGAUUAAGUAGUGAAAAGAACUUAAUAGUCAAAAUGAUUCGUCAUAGGAUUUUCUAAAUAACUUGUAGUAUAGGAUGAGUUUAUCCAAAUAGGGAAGCAGGGAGAUACAGUUUGUAGGUGAUAGAGAGGGCGGAGAAACCUAAGAGGCAGAGACAAAGAAAGACGCAAAAACAAUGCAAGAAAAGCUGAACAGGCGUCAGAGGAAUCUAGAAGCCCCAUGGCCAUCUAAACGUGCAUGGUUUGGUAAAAAAUGAGUAUUGUCCUAGCAGCUAACAUAGUGACCUGAGGCCUCAAUGCGCCCUGCAAGACUUGUAAAAUUAUAAUUAUUCUUCUUUUCUGCUUUUCUAUUCUUUUAAAUUCCUCUUUUUAAUCUUUUAUAUUAUAAGCAAUUGAUGACUCUUAGCUCGGAAAGAAUAAAUUAGCUAGUAAAACUAAAAAUCAAUGAUAUAGGUUAUUAAUGUUGGCUAGAAGAAAGACAUAGGAAAUUUGAGGAACAUGUGUAUGUAUUACAAAGUUAGCUGCUACCUAAGCAAAGCGUACAUUGCAUGUUUACUUUAUUGUAUUAAGGCGAUUUUUUAUUUGUUAAAAUGGGUAGCUAAAAUUGAAAGGGGAAGCUUUGGAAACUCUAUUGAUUUGAAAAGUUGAGAUUGGAGUCGGUUUCUCAACAUUUGUAGUCAACAAAGAAAAUUAGCUGUUGUAGACAUCUUUAAAAAAAUAAUAAUAAUAAUAAAUAAAUAAAUAAUUUUAAAUUAUAAUAAAAUAAACUAAAAUAUAAAAUAAUAUAACAAAAAAAAUGAAAGAUNNNNNNNNNNNNNNNNNNNNNNNNNNNNNNNNNNNNNNNNNNNNNNNNNNNNNNNNNNNNNNNNNNNNNNNNNNNNNNNNNNNNNNNNNNNNNNNNNNNNNNNNNNNNNNNNNNNNNNNNNNNNNNNNNNNNNNNNNNNNNNNNNNNNNNNNNNNNNNNNNNNNNNNNNNNNNNNNNNNNNNNNNNNNNNNNNNNNNNNNNNNNNNNNNNNNNNNNNNNNNNNNNNNNNNNNNNNNNNNNNNNNNNNNNNNNNNNNNNNNNNNNNNNNNNNNNNNNNNNNNNNNNNNNNNNNNNNNNNNNNNNNNNNNNNNNNNNNNNNNNNNNNNNNNNNNNNNNNNNNNNNNNNNNNNNNNNNNNNNNNNNNNNNNNNNNNNNNNNNNNNNNNNNNNNNNNNNNNNNNNNNNNNNNNNNNNNNNNNNNNNNNNNNNNNNNNNNNNNNNNNNNNNNNNNNNNNNNNNNNNNNNNNNNNNNNNNNNNNNNNNNNNNNNNNNNNNNNNNNNNNNNNNNNNNNNNNNNNNNNNNNNNNNNNNNNNNNNNNNNNNNNNNNNNNNNNNNNNNNNNNNNNNNNNNNNNNNNNNNNNNNNNNNNNNNNNNNNNNNNNNNNNNNNNNNNNNNNNNNNNNNNNNNNNNNNNNNNNNNNNNNNNNNNNNNNNNNNNNNNNNNNNNNNNNNNNNNNNNNNNNNNNNNNNNNNNNNNNNNNNNNNNNNNNNNNNNNNNNNNNNNNNNNNNNNNNNNNNNNNNNNNNNNNNNNNNNNNNNNNNNNNNNNNNNNNNNNNNNNNNNNNNNNNNNNNNNNNNNNNNNNNNNNNNNNNNNNNNNNNNNNNNNNNNNNNNNNNNNNNNNNNNNNNNUAUAUAUAUAUAUAUAUAAAUUAAAAAUACAUAUAUAAAUAAUAACAAUAACAAUAAUAAGUCAAUAAAAAAAAUAUUUAUAUUAUAAGUAUAUUUCGAGGCUUGCAAAUGAUAAAAUAAUAAUAAUAAUAAUAACAAUAAUAAUAAUUCAUGAUGCAACUAUAUAUAUUUCUAAAAAUAUAUAUAUAUGAAAUAAAUAAAUAAAAUAAUAAUAAAAUAAUAAAUAAAUAAAUAAAAUAAAUGGAACAAUUAUUUGAGCAUUACCACCUAAAAGGGGCAAAGAGUUGUCUCUUUCGGGUGGGUCACUUAAGUGCGGAAUUCGAAACGGAUUUUCACCGAAGCGUCGGGAUAAAUCCGGAUUCUAUACCCCUAUACCCAUUAGUCUGAAUAAUGUUUGUUUUAAAAAAAAUAUGAUAAACAAUAAUGUUAAAUAAUAACGAUAAAUAUAUGAAUAAGUCAAUAAAUUACCUGAAAUUAUUAAGCAUGUUAUUAUUACCAAUCAACUAAUUAAUAAAUACGAUCAUAUAGAUUCCAUCAUUUUACACUGUCAUUGCACGCCACUCUUAUUUUGCAAAUGGCGUGGGAAUCCCGAUGAUGGGAUUUCCCCGAGGAGCUUGUAGAGAUGAGUUCUUCCGGGGAUAUCUCUAGGUGAGGAGAAUUUCGAGACUUCACCAAAGCGUUGGGAUGGUCUUCGAAUAAUUUUCCAAUAAAAGAUUACCGACUCCAUCAUCUAAAACGAAUAAGUUAUGACAUCAUUCUACGCUUGCAUCAUAUGCAUACGUAAAACCAAGUGAAAAACUCAGUCUGUCAAUUCAAUAAAAAUUUAAUUAAUAAAGUAGAGAUUAACUUAAGAGAAGGCUAUAUAUUAAGAUAACUUAAGAUUAAAUGGUACCGUUCGUAGAACGGGCGUCACGGAGGUGUUAACCCUUCUCCGUGCGUAAUCGCACUCCCGAACCCAUCUCUAAAAGACGUGGACCAGUUCUCAUCCUUUCGACGGGCCUAAAAUUAAUUUAGGACUUCGUCGAUUAGAAUCAGAUUAAUAGGUGACCAAUCACACCUUAGAUAAAAAGAUUGGUGGCGACUCCCUAACCAUUUAAUUUUUGCCCGCGUCUGGCGGACGGGUUCCCGGACCCGCACGUUACGACAGCUGUAAUAUAGCUUUUGUGCAUAUCAUGCAAUAACAUUAACAAAAGAACUAUCAUGAAGCACCCAAAAAAAAAGCAUAAUAAACAAAAAAAAACGAAAUUACCCAAUACUCAAAAGAAGUUGAAAACCCCAUUUAAUCACUAAAACUCCUAAAACAGAAAAUUUAGCAUGAUCAUGUACUCUGGACACAACAACUCAACCGCAAAAGCUAAAAAUAAUUUCUUGUAACAUAUAAGAGUCUUUAAUAAAUCAAUUAUCAUAGCUAUCCAAAAACAAAGCAAAAGGUUAGAAAGAAUAGGAAAAAUAAAUUAAACAGGAAAAAGAAAAAAGAAAAAUUGACCCGCUUACAAAAGGAAGCUUGAAAGCAGAAAAAGAAAAACCAAUGGCAAUAGAUAUAAGUAAAAAAAUACAACUAAUUAUCUGUAUCACAUUCACAAAGGAAAAAAAAAGAAGUAACUAAAAAUCAAAAAUGAACAUUACCUGAAUAAAUGAAAGACAAAAUAAAAGCAUGAAGAAUGCAGGCAAAAUAAGCAAAAAAAUAAAAUAAAAAAUAUAUAAGUUAAUAGCAAAAGAAUAAAGACAUAAAGGAAAACACAACUUGAAUAAAGGGGCAAAAAAAAAAAGAAAUUAGAUAUGAAUCGGUAGCAAAGGAGAAGAAAACCACAACCAAAAUAGAGAAUAAAAAUGAAAUUAGAAAUCAAAAGUAAAAAAAAAAAAGAAGAAGCAAAAUACCUCAAUAAAUGAAUGACAAAAUAAAAACACGAAUAAUGCAACAAAAAUAAGGAAAAAACCAAAAUCAAAAAAAAAAAUCACCAGCAGGAUCGAAGAAGAAAGAAAAGAACAUAGAAAAAGAUAAGAAAGAAAGUGAAAAAACCUAAGAAAGAAGAAAAAUCUAGAAGGAUUAUAGGCGUAAAAACCAAAAAGGCAUGCUAAUUUUCGGCAAAUACAAAUGUUCUCUUUAGGCAAAGCACAAAGUUCAAAUGCAAAAAACCAAAACAACCCCUUUAGUGUCCAAAACACCAAAAAAUGAUAGAGGGAGGAAAGGAAUAAGGAGGGUAGGCAAACCAAAGAGGAAAGAAGAAGAAUAUGGACCAUUUGAGGGCCAAAAGUAAAAAAUGUCAUGAAAAUUUUAUGAAAAUCCAAGAAUGCCCCUAAAGAUGUAAAUGGGUUAUUGUUAUUUGGGUACCUAUAUAUAUCCAACUCGAUAACAUAGGGUUAAGGUAUCACAGUUAUAGGAUGGAUUAGGGUGAUGCUUUUAAAAUCUGACACAGAUUCAAGUAUCACCUUUAAGAUACCCCAAACUCGAACCCGAUUAUAUAUAAUGUUACAAAAAAAAUUUAUUUUGUGGGAUUUGAACUUUUGUAAUCAACUUACCUUUUCAUAAAUUAAUAAAUGUAAUAUUAAUUUAUAUUAGUUAAACUAUGAUGAAAUCGUAGUAAAGAUUGAACUCAUAAAAGGAUGGGAAACACUCCAAGUCUUUGCCAAAUUUGUCAACUUAAACAGGUAUUUAACGGAUUUAGACACUUAACGGAUAAUUGUUUACUAUUAGAAUUCGAUUAUGGAUAAUAUUUUGUAAUUUUAUACGAAUUUUAAUAGGAUUUGGAUAUUCUGAUAGCUAAUCAGUUUUAGGUUAAAUAUCUCAAAAAUAACGAAUACUUUACUCGUUUAUAUCUCUAAAUGCCUCCUAUUUCUUCACCACCAAGAAAAUAAAAAACCACAAACAUCUUUACCAAAUCAAUCAACAUCACCACAAACACCCUCACCAAAUCAAUUAAUACUCGAGAUAGGUGGCACCCAAUUGGUUGCCUCAAUUGAAAGCCUAAACCAAGUGACACGUGUCACAAAUCAAACAGUAAAUGGCUCAAUUGAACUAUAUGCGGUAGCACCAAACCCAUCCACGUGGCCCUCAAUUAGGCCAUCUACAUGGCACAAUUUUGGAACCCUCUUGGGAUUUCUUCUAUAUAUAAGUGUUGAUAUGAUAUGCCUUAAUAAGUAGUAUAGAUAAAGAUAAAAUCAUAAUUUUGAUAUGAUUAACUAAAUAAAAUAAAAAGAUAUGCAUAUAUAAUUGUUAUUAUAAUCUGACAAAAUUAAUUUAAUUUCUAUAUAAUAAAAUAUUUUAAAUUACAUAUAUAAUGACUAUAUUAUUAACAAAGUAAAACACAAAUUUUAAAAUAAAGAAUAUAUAUAUAUAUAUAUAUAACAUUUAAUAUUUGUUUCCUUUUUAUAAAUAAGAACAUAUGCUCCAAAACUUUGAUUUUUUUUUUGUUAAAAUUUUGAUGUUUUGACAUGUGGCAUCCAUAAGCCUUGUGUCAAAGCCACUUAAAAGAUGUUGACAAACACAAGGCAAAGCAUUGCUCAAGACUUGUUAUCGAAAUCCUACUAUAUGAUAUUUGAGAUCUUACAAUGCUGAUAUAAAUAUGGACUUUCUCUAAAUCGUUUCAAUCACACUCAUUAGUAAAUUAUAAGUUGAAUCGCAUAUCACAUUUACGCAAAGUUCAUGAUUUAUAUUAGAAGGACUAAAGAUAAAUAAACCUAGGUUUCAUAUGUUUGAUUGUGCAACAGACUAAUGAAUAUCGAGUUGGAGAAGAAAGAAGUAAACCUGGGGUCAAGAAGCUCAUCAAAUGCAAUGUAUAAAUAAAAGGCAAGAAGGAUGACUGAACACAACAUUUUAAACACAACCAAGAAAGAAAGGCCUAAUAAUCUAAAAGCAUCGUUCCAUUUGUAACUAAUUGUUUUCAAAAUUAGCUAAGGUAGUUAAGAUGAAAUUAUAGUCUUGUUUCUUUCUUACUUUAUUUUUAAUCAGUUGUAUAUAUAUUACUCAUUAUUGAGCCCUGAUUGAAUGAGAAAACUUGACAUUUCUCAUUAUCUUUUUGUGUUGCAUUUGUCCUUUUUCCUUUUUCUUAUUCACCUUUUUUCAUGGUAUCAGUGCAUGAAGGAAUCUUGGACUCUAUGGUUGUCGUUUUUGAACUUUUAAUGUAGCAAAUUCAUUUGCACACGAUAAGCUCUUCAUUGUCUUUUUAGCUCUAUUAGUAUUCAAAUCUACUUGUUAAGUAGUUGUUUAGUUAUCCAUGGUUGAGUUUAUUGAAACCAAAUCAAAAUCUAGUACAUAGAUCAGUAGAGUUUUACCCAUAGUAGAUCCCUUUCACCAUAUUGUCUACAUCGCACUAACCACCCUAGUACAAUAUCUAUCAACCCCAAGUUAACCACUAAUAAUUAUGUGGCUUGGAGUAGAUCUUUUUUACUUGCACUUUCUAUCAGAAACAAGAAAAGAUUUGUCAAUGGAUUUAUAACCAAACCUAAGAUAACAAAUCCCUAAUAAUGGCCUAGCCACUUAACUCUAUUUCACCACUUAUUGCUUCAACUAUUUUCUACAUGGACUUAGCUAUAGAAAUUUGGAAUACACUGAAGCUAAACUUUGCUCAACCCAAUGACACUAGGGUAUGCAAUUUACAAUAUACCCUUGGGAAAAUUAGUUAAGGUACUAGGAUAAUUUAUGCUUAUUUUAAUGAGCUUAAGGGCAUUUGGAAUAAAUGAGAAGCUAUCGCUCUCUACCACACUGUAAAUGUGGUAAAUAUAACCUCAAUUGCUUCAAAAAAUACUUAGAUCAAUUCUAAAAAGAAAUAGUUUUCAGGUUUUUGAAUAGACUAAAAUGAGUCUCUCUUUGUUGUCAGAUCACAAAUUAUAUUAAUGGAUCUUAUUCCAAGCUUAGAUAUGGUUUAUAGCCUAGUUCUAAGGGAAGAAACACAAAGAAACCUUGUUGUUUGAGCAUAGCAUGUCCUUGAAUCUUUUGCUAUGCUAGCCACAGUUGACAACAAGAAAAAUUGAGGAAGGAUAUAAUUUGUAAUCAUUGUGGAGAAAAAGGACACAAUAAGAACAAGUGUUAUAAGAUCAUAGGGGUUCCUGAGGAUUUCAAGUUCACGAAAGGUAAGCAGAACUUCAAGAAAGCCAAAAAUAUUGUAUUUGUAAUUUCUGAUGUAAUAGCAAAGCAUAAGCAUCAAUUUGAGCAAGAAGAAAAGUUGGCUAGUACCGGUCCUAUGUCCUAAAUAUCCAUCAUCAAAGAACUGGUUAACAAGCUAAUGGAGCUCUUAAAUAAGAAUGGUAUAAGCAACAAUGAAGGUAAAGGCAUUUCAUCAAACAUUUAGUAGACAAAGCACUUACUUGUGAAUUCUACCUUUACAGGUAUUAUUUCAUGUCACUCUUGCUUCAAUACAUCAAAUAAUUUACCUAUUAGACUUAGAAAUAUAAAUAUUUCUAUGAUUAAAUAAUAUUGGAUUGUGGAUUUUGGUGCCAGUGGUCAUAUAUGUUGUUCUUUAACUAGUUUCAUUCAUGCUAAAGCUAUCAAGAAUUGCUUUAUCCAACUACCUAAUAAUAAAAGAGUUUUUAUGUCUCAUGUAGGAACAAUAAGGCUAAAUCCAAAGUUAAACUUAUAAAAUGUCUUGUAUGUCCCAAGUUUUAUGUUCAAUCCAAUUUCAAUAGGUUAGCUCACCAGAAAAAAUUGUGUACUUUUCAUUGAUAUGUACUGUGUUGUAUAGGACAUUCUCUCAUGGAUCGUGAUUGAGGUUGCUAGGAUUUUCUCAGGGCUAUACUUCAUGCAAGAUAAAAUCAUAUGAACAAGACAUAUCAAGUUUCUAGUUUGACAAAAUAGUCAAGUUUCCUUUUAGUUUUACAAUCAAUGCUUACUCGUUUGUUAAUUCUACCUUUACAAGUAGUAUUUCAGGCCACUCUUCCUUCAAUUCAUCAAAUAAUUUGUCUAUUAGACUUAGAAAUGUAAAUAUUACUAUGAUUAAAUAAAGUUAUUGGAUUGUGGAUUCUAAUGCCAGUGAUCAUAUAUGUUGUUCCUUAAGUAGCUUCAUUCACUAUAAAACUGUCAACAAUUGCUUUGUCCAACUGCCUAAGAAUAAAAGAGUUCUUGUGUCUCAUGUAGGAAUAGUAAGCUUAAAUCCAAAAUUAGUCUUACAAAAUAUUCUAUAUGUCCCAAGUUUCAAGUUCAAUUUAAUUUCAAUUGGUCAACUCACCAAAACUAAGAAAAAUUGUGUAUUUUUCACUGAUAUGUACUGUGUUGUACAAGACAUUCUCUCAUGGAUAGUGAUUGGGGUUGCUAAGGAUUUCUCAGAACUAUACUUCAUUCAAGAUAAAUUAGAUGAACAAGACAUAUCACGUUUCUGUUUUGACAAACUAGUCAAGUUUCCUUUUAGUUCUACAAUCAAUGCUUGUAAAACAAAGUACAAAUGUUUUGAGUUAUGGAAUUUUAGGUUAAGUCAUGUUCUUUUGGAGAGAAUUAACAUCAUACAUAAACAAUUUCUAGAUGUUUGUUGCUCAAAUGAGCUGGUUUGUGAAGUGUUCUUUUGGCAAAAUAGAAAAGCUUCCAUUUUCAAUUCAAGUUCAGAGUUCUACUUGUGCUUUUCAACUUAUUCAUGUUUAUAUUGAGGUCCAUAUGAGACCCCCACACUAUCUAGUCAAAGGUGUUUUCUUAUAAUUAUGGAUGAUUUCGCACAUUUUACUUCGGUUUUUCUUAUGAGUAGUAAGUCAGAUGUUUUGCUAAUUAUUCUUUUUUCAAUAACUAUGUUAAAAAACAGUUUUAUCUUUCAAUCAAAUGCAUAAAAUCAGACAAUGGUUUACAGUUUAAGCUCACUGAUUUCUUUGAUAAUACUAGAAUAACCAUCAUUUAUUUUGUUACGGACAUGCCUCAACAGAAUAAAAUUGUUAAGAGAAAACAUCAACAUAUCCUUAUGGUUGCUAGAACCCUAAUACACCAAUCUAAUGUACCGAUACAUUUUUUGGGAGAUGCAAUACUAACUAUAGUUAUACCUGUCAAAAUGGGCUUGGCCCAUUGGGCCAGCCUAUUUUUCAUUUAAUAUAGGGUGGGUUGGGUUAGGAAAAUUUAGGCCCAUAUUUAGACUAGGCCUAGAUGGGCCAGCCCACCAAAUCAGUGGGUUAGGGUGGGCUAGGGCGGGCCAGCCCUAUGGGCUAAAAAAUUCAUAAUUUUAAUUAAUUAAUAAUUUUAUAAGUCAUAAUAUUAUAAUUUAAUUAUCAAUAAUAUUACUUAUUUUAUAUAUUUAAUGUGUUUAAUCUUUACUUAUCAAAUUAACAAUUUUAAUUUAUGAAUUAAAUCAUAAAAUAAUUUUAUUAAUAGAAAAUUUAUUAACUUAAAUUNGAAAUGGCCUGGCCCAACCCAACCCAUGGGCUAGCAAAGGGUGGGCUAGGUUGAGGAUUUCAUAGCUCAUAUAAAAAAUGGACUGGCCUAGCCCGACCCAUAUUUUUUCAACCCACGAGGGUUAGGGCUGGGUUGGGCCGAGCUGGCCCAUAUUGAUAGGUCUAACUACAAUGCAUAUCAUCAAUAAAAUCCUAACUAAAGUGCUUCAAAUUAAAUCUCCUUUCGAGUUGUUAUUUCAAUAGUCACCUAGUUAUGAACACUUUAAAGUUUUUGAAUGCAUAUGUUUUGUAUCAACACUAUCUCAUCAUAGAAAAAAAAAUUAGAUAAAAGAUCCACUAAAUAUAUCUUCAUUAGGUAUCCAAGUAAUUUGAAAGGUUACAAUGUAUAUGAUCUUUAUGCAGAAAGAGUUUUAAUAUCUAGAAACAUUGUUUUUCAUGAAAGAAUAUUUCCAUUUCAGUCUACGUAGUAGAGUAUGGAAACAGAUGCAUUCCAUCAAACACCUAGUUUACAUAAUAAAUGUUAUGAUAUUUUUGACUCAAACUUGAAAAUUUUCCAUCAGAAAACCAAGUACCUACUUAGUCAACUUCAUCCCAACCUAUCUUAAGGUCAAAAACAUCAAAUACAUUAAAUUCAAAUAAUUUGUCAUCUAAUUUACCUAUCACAAUUAGUAUGCCUACUUUUACCAACAAUGAGCCUAAUGCAAAUGAUAGUGACAAUGAUUUUUGAAUAGUGAUGCAAAUAUCAACUUACCAAUUAGGAAAAGUACUAGAAUCAGACACACUUUUAAUCAUUUAGAUGCCUAUCAUGUAUACUUUCCUUCACAUUCAAACAUUGUCAUUGCACAUCCAAUAUCAAAGCACUUAUCAAUUAGUAAACUCUCACCUGCACAUAAAGCAUUUACCAUUUCACUAUCAAAACCUUAUGAACCAAGUACUUACCACCAAGCAAUUGACCAUUCUCAUUGGAGAAAUGCUAUGGUGGUUGAGCUAAAAGCAUUACAAGAAAAUAGUACGUGGAGCAUAGUACCUUGGCGUGCAAAUUCUCAAGUGAUAGGGUGGAAGUGGGUGUACAAAGUGAAGUUGAAUGAAAAUGGUGAUAUUAAACGAUAUAAAGCAAGACUGGUUGCCAAGGGUUAUAAUUAAAUUGCAAGGUUUGACUACCAAGAAACCUUUAGUCUAGUUGCUAAGCAAACAACUGUCAAAGUUUUUUUUUUCCUUAGCUACAGCAUACAACUAGUCAUUAUCACAACUUGAUGUGAAUAAUGUAUUCCUAAAUGGGGGUCUAGAAGAGGAAGGUUACAUGGAGAUGUCACAAGGGUACAACAUCCAAGGGGAGUAUCCAAAAGGAUCCAAGUUAGCCUACAAACUACACAAGUCCUUAUAUGGACUCAAACAAACAUCUAGACAGUGGAAUGCCAAUUUUACUUCAUCAAUUCUUCAACAUGGCUUUCAUCAAUCUUCAACAGAUCAAUUUCUUUUCACUAUGAACACAAGUAAUGGGAAUUUUGUUGCAUUACUACUUUAUGUAAGUGAUAUACUAAUUGGAAGCACAUCAUCUCAAGAAACAAUGGAUGAGAAACACUACCUAGGUUCACAGUUGAAAUUGAAAGAUAUUGGAGUGGUAAAAUACUUCUUGGGAUUAUGGAUUGAUAAAUCACUUAAAGGUAUUUCCAUUUGCCAGAGAAAAUAUACAUUGGAUCUCUUGGCAGAGCAUGGACUACUAGGAGCAAAACUAGUUUCUACCCUUAUUGACUACAAUCAAAAACUGCACAAGGUUCAAAGUGAAGAUGAAUUAGUAAACCCCACAACUUACAGGCAAUUAGUUAGGAAACUACUUUACCUUACUUUCAACAAAUUAGACGUAUCCUACGUAGUCUAGAUAUUGUCUUAAUUCAUGAACAAACCUGGUCAUCAACAUUUCUUAGUUGCUCAUAGAGUAUUAAAAUACCUAAUAGGGGCACCAGGUCAAGGUAUUAUGAUGAAGUCCACAUCGAAUUUGAAAUUAUCAGCUUAUCAUGAUAGUGAUUGGCCAAGUUGUCCUGAUUUUCAAAGGUCAAUCACUAGAUUUAGUAUCUUCAUUGGAGAUUCACUCAUAAGUUGAAGUCAAAGAAGCAGUCAAUGGUAGCUAGAAGCUCAACUAAAGUAGAGCAUCGUUCAAUGGCUUCCACAUGUUGUGAGAUCAUAUGGUUAAAGAAAUUAUUAUCAAAUUUUAGAGUUUGUCUUAAAUAUGCAAUAGUACUCUAUUCUGAUAGCCAUUCAGCAAUCCAUAUCAGCAAAAAUCCAAUCUUCUAUGAGAGGACUAAGAAUAUAGAGAUAGAUUGUCACUUUGUUCGAGAGAAGGUUUAGGCAAAAAUAAUUAAACCAAUACACAUUUCCAUUAAUGUCCAACUAGCUGACAUCUUCACCAAAGCUCUACAACCAAGACAAAUUCACAACCUAUUGAGCAUGAUGAAUGUUCACAAUGAUCACAUUUUCUCUUGAGGGGGAGUAUUAGAAGGAUUGUAGAUAAAUAAAGCCAGGUUCCAUAUGUUUGAUUGUGCAGCAGACCGAUGAAUAUGGAAUUGGAGAAGAAAGAUACAGACUUAGGGACAAGAAGCAAAACAAACGCACCGUACAAAUAAAAGCCAAGAAGGAAAGGCUUAGUAUGCUAAACCCAUCGUACCAUUUGUAAAUAAUUGUUUUUAAAAAUCGGUUCAAGUAGUUAAGAUGUAAUUAUAGUCUUUUCUCUUUCUUCCUUUAUAUUUAAUCAAUUGUAUAUAUGCUACUCGUUAUUAAGCCUUGCUUGAAUGAGAAAUUCUAGACAUUUCUUGCUCUCUUCCUGGAUCGUAUUCGUCCUUUUUCCUUUGUCAUAUUCACCUUUUGUCAAACUAUAAACAUAUAAUUCAUUGAUAUAUGACAUAAAAUUCAUAAUAAGAACAUUGUGUAUAACCCUUUCCUCUGAAACUUAAAUUGUUAACACUUGAAAAUUGAUUUGAAGAUGGUAUAAGUGAUGACAUUGCACUUGUAAAAUUCAAAUGCUGUUAUAUCCACCUCAUAAAUAUAAAAAAAGAAUAACAUAUUCAUAUUUUUCAUUUAUAUAUAUUUUUUGUACAAAACGUAAUAGUAAUGCAAUAUAUAUUUUUUAAAAAGGUACUUAUGGAGUGCAAUAUAUAUUAAAAAGUAUUGAUUGUUAUUACAAUUUUUAUUUAUAUACAUAAUUUCACAAAAAUUAAUCAUCACUUAUCUACAGAGAUAUCCCAUUUUUAAAACCAAGCUCGGACUUGACCUAACCCACCGAUUUAACUAUUAUUUCAUUAUUAUAAUAAUAAAAUAUUAUUUUAUAUUAAUGUUUUAAUAUAUUUCAAAAAUUCAAAUUAGAUAAAAAAUAUAAUUUAUUAGUAAAAUAAUAUAAUGGGGUUGGACUUGAGCUUAAAAGUUUAUGUACAAGUUUGGUUCGAGUGGGCUAGGUAUGCGGGCUUGGCCAGAAAACUCAAAUUCUAAUUGAAUGACUAUAUUGAAAGUCAUUUCAAGAUGUAAAAGUUUAAUUUUUAAUUUAAUAACAUCAAUUGUUAUAUUAUGAUAAUAGUCAAUGAUCUAUAAAAAAAAAAACUGUUAAAUAAAUAUAAAAAUACAUAAAAAAUGAUUCAAUUUCCUUGUUUUCAAAAGAUUUCUCGGUUUUUUUUUUUACUUUUGAAAGGUGUUAGAAACUUGUUACUAAAUAAUUCAGAUAAUUAAGUAGUAACUUUUGUCUAUUUAUAUAGGACAUAUGUAAAUCUUAUUAGGAAUAGAACACUAAUUCGAUUCUUAGUAGGAGUUAAAUUAUGCCUAUGCGGAUGCACUCAAAGAUUUGGGUCCACUUGACCUGAUUCAUAUUCUAACACAACAUAGAAAGCUUAAAAGAAGCGUAUGUUGGAGAUCCUUAAAGAUUUUUUUUUUCUUUUUUUAUGGUUGUAGAUUCAAGUCCAUAUCAUCUUAUUUCAUAGUUUAUUUGAAAUUUUUUUAAUAUAAUUUUAUUAUUUAAGCUUUUUAAAUUGAUUAAAAAAUUUUAUUUACCUGCUAAUUGAAAUAAUAUUUAUCAACACAUUGCAACUAAUCCCUGAAAAGAAAAGAUAAUUAUCAAUAACAUCCCUUACAUUACAAUCUAUUGACAAGUUGAGGUUAUAAACAAUAUUUUAAUAAAAUAAUUUUAUUUAAUACUUAAAAGUUUAGCCUAGAAUUUUAUAAAUACUAUACUAUAUACACCUUGAUGUGUUAUACCUACAAUCAAGUGCCUUCUCAAGCCCCCUAAUAGCUGCUAACACAAUCCAACUUGCUUUAAACUUCCUAAUAGCACAGCAGUGCAUGUUAAGUAGUUCUUCAUACAUUCCAAUUUUCACACAAGUUAGAAUAUGAAGAUUCAAGUUGAAAUAUAUAUGGUUAAAGUGGUUAGGCAAUAAAAACUCACCACUUCCAAUCAAAGAGGAAUUCAAUAUUAUAUCUGAAAAUUUGGCUCAAUGCUAAAUGUAUCCCUUGCUCAAAAAAAAUGGGGUUUGAAUCCUCCUUCUUUCAAUCAAAAAAGAAAAAAAAAAAGAAUUCAAUGCCAAUUAUGUGGAGAGAAAUUAAGUGAUGAUGAUCUAUGAACAAUAUACAAAAUUCAUAUACUUAAAAAAAUAUGGACUUGGCAUAUUGCAUACAAGGUGGCAGUUGGGAGGUCAAGAAACCAAAAAAACAGAAAAUCUAGUGUAAAUAGAGAAAUAAAUAUAUUUCCUUGUAAGAGAACCUUUACCAUGCAGACAACAUAAACCAUACUUAACCUGAGACUUCUAGAAUCUGGACUCUAAGAAAUUUAUAAUAACUAAGGAAUCUGCAAAUGGUCCUUUAAGACCAAAAUUGAAAUUGCUACUGUACUUGUAUUUGCAGACAAUGGAGAUCAAGUAGUGUACAGAAAUGAUGAUUUAACUCUGACCAUCCAUGGUCCUUCUCAGGUGCUCCAGCACGAGUUUUUCACCAGUGAGGUGUUCAACCAAUCCUUCCAUUUCAGAGAAACUAAAUUAAGAGCCCAAAUAAUCAAAUUGGAAUAUAUUAAUAAAAUUAACAUUAAUACCCUAACACCUAGGUCAUUUAGUUAAAAGUAAAUAUACAUAACAUUAAAAAGAAGGAAGAACAAUUAUAUUCAGAUUACUACCAUUAGUGUAAUCUCGACAGUCAUGAAGCCCCACUCUCAAAUCAGCUCCCCAUGUGUUGUUGAACUUGUAGGCUUUAGCUACAGCAUCCUCAUUGGAAUAUCCAACAAACCAACAUUUUCUCCUAGGCAGUUUUGUUAACUUCCUUGCUAGAACAACACCUAUUGAAAGUGUUAUUGUAGUACAUAUUAUGAAGGAAAAAAGUACUGGUGUCAUCAAUAACAAAGCAAUGCCAAACUUUAAACUAAUCCACAAUAAACGUUUCCAGCAACCCAAAUUGGAAAAUUUGCUUUUUGUGGAUUUAUGUAUGUUAGAAUUGAGAUUGUUUUUAAAGAUUUAACUCCUCUAGGUGAAAUCCAACUCUUGUUGAUGCCUUUAGUUUCUGCAAAAUAGCGGCAGAAAACUAAGCAAGUUUUGUUUAAGUGGUCAAUACAACAGCUAGUGGGAGUAGGUUAGCUUGAUAUACUGCUACGCCAGACUACCAGCAGAAGUGAUGACUUAAUGCUGAGAUAUUUGUACUUAUUUUGUAAGCAAAUGACUGGUGUAUAUGUAUGCUUUUGCAGAUGAAUCAAAUGUGAGAAGUUUUCUGCAUCUUUUCUUCUUGUUCUCUCUUUCCUUUUCUCUGCAGACUUUAUCAAGGAAAACAGCUAUUCUCCUGCUUCUUCAUUCUCUGUUUUGUUUAAGCUGUAUUUGAUUUGUUUCUUCACAAUAUAUGUUCACACAUCUGUCCCUAAAUGUUGGCAGUUUAUGGAUAUUCCAUCAAAUGUUGUAACCCAAAUUAUAAAAUAUUCUCAAAAUGCAACAAGUGUGACUAGCAGAAAUAUAAGUUCUUAUGUUCAAAACCCGUUAGAAAAAGCAUGCCAGCUGUAUACCGAACCUAACUAAGAGGAAAAUCUAACAUAAGCAACUCAAUUAGAAAGAAAAUCCAGUUCAAUAAUCAAUCUAUAAUCUUAUAUCCCUUUUUCAGAAAUAUGGAUUGCUUGGAUUCAUUAAUCCGUUUAAAAUCUCUGGUCUGUCUUCACUCAAUCAAGCUCCUUGUAGAUUGCUUGGAUUGAGGCCUAUGUGCUCAAAGGCAGAAAUUUAUGGCAGAUCCCAAUUUCUUAAGGAUGCAGCGGGAGCUGGAAAAAGCUGCUUCAACUCAGACAGGUUGCCUCUAGGUUUAUUCAGCAGAACAAUGGGGGAGAGAUAUGGAAGGUUUGCUGAGCAAAAAAAAAAAAAAACGAUGUGGAGGUUCCUGGAGUUGAUUACUCUGCUGCCUCUGAAUGGAAUGAGAUCAGGCACAAACAGGUGAAGAUUGAGUGGCAUAGGCUUGUAUGGUUUCAAUGUCACAUUCCCAAGCAUGCUUUGAUUGCUUGGAUGGCUGCACUUGACAGACUUCCUACUAAAGACAGACUGCUUUCAUGGGAAACUUCCAUUAGUGGGUUUGUUUGUUGUUCCAACAUGAGCUGGAGACAAAAGAUCACUUGUUUUUGACAUGUGAUUAUCUAAAAACACACCUGCCAGCUUGUAAUAUUUGCAGAGAGCUCUCUGGCUGGAAGGAAGAGCUGCAUUGGGUGGUUAAAAGACUCAAAGGGAACGCUUAUGUUUGUCAUAUUUGGAAGGAGAGAACCAACAGAUUUUAUGGGUACAUUGCAAGGACCAGUUCACAGAUUUAUUGCAAUAUUGUAGACGCUGUUCAUUUGAGGCUUUAUGGUUUAAAGAAUAUUGGUUAUAAUUCUGUUGAUAGGGAUAUGAACAGCAUGGGGACUAACUAGCUCCAUUUUCAAUUAGUUUCUGUAUUGUUGUCCUGGCAGCUUGCUGCAUGUAUUUGUUGCUGUCUUGACAGCUUGUUGUAUUUGUAGCAAUUUUCACUGCUUCUUAUGGGUAACACAGAAUUGACUAACCAAAAAAUAAAUCCUACAUCCCUCUUCGAUUUUUGAGAAUCAGACUCAUACAUUCGUUUCAAGUUACAUGAAGAGUGAUGACAAUCUGCAUGCAACUAAACAAAUAAUCUUGAACCACAGAAACAAGGCAAAACAGAAUGAAGAUCACAGUUAAUGCUGAACAAAACAUUCUUCGGAAACCAAUGGGAGAUUUCUGAUUUUGAGGUCUCCAUGAACCAAGCAGGCAAGCAAUAUGAAAAGGAUGUGAUAUGACUGACAUACCUUGGAGGGCUGCUGAACUUUCAAAUCUGAUACAUUGAUAAAUUUAUAAGCCAAGUAGUCCAUAAAUAGUUAGGGUUGAAAAUUUCCUUAAAGAUCAUUUAAGUUGUGAAAAAUAAUGUUUGACAGUGCUCACCUGGUACUGCUCUACCAGAUAGAGCUGCAAGUGCUGUGUAUAUGUUUUCUGGAUCUUCAGGUUGAAAAUCAAAAACAAAGGCCUGCAUAUAAUUUUCAGACUGCAUCAGUGAAAGAAGACUGAAAAUCCCUUCAAUGUUAACCAAAUAUAUCAACGAGACAUGAGAAUGUAAACUAAAAUCAUCAUACAUCCUAAAUCCUAAGUGUCCACGAACAAAAAUGCGUCUCCAAGCUGACAGUUAAACUAAAAUCUAUGCCACCAGGACACUUGAAAAUAAAAUUCAAGAUAACAUUACUGGAAUUGAAAGUGAUCAGAACAGGAGUUGGUAUGGCAAUAGAUAAUGGGAUCAGAAUUCUCAUGUGCUCUUGAUUCGAAAGUCAAGUAAAUGCUUGAAUUUCACUAUUUGAGAGGCAUUUACAUUUCUAGGACCAUUCCGUGUAGGUGACUAUUAAGCCAGUUUUGGCACUAAGAUGGAUCAAAAGGGAAAGAGAUGACUGCAAGCGGUAAGGGCUGCACUUAUUGCAGCUGCUCUACCUAGAAUAUUCAUUUACCCAUAGGAAAACUUUAAGAACUAGCACUACUAAAUUACAGCAGAACUCUGUCAAAUUCUAGUAGAAGAUAAUUUUGCCUAAACUUGUAGCUUGCCACCGCAAUCAGUUAGGGAGUUGUUAAAAACAAUUUGCAAGAGGAUUUCAUCCCAACUACCAGAAAAUGAAAUCUUAACAGAGCAAGAAGAAUGCCAUUACAUAGUGCCGACUUCAGAUAGGUUUUUGAGACAAAGCUAGGUCCUACUAACACAACAGCAAAGGCCCAAAAAGAAAAAAAAAAAACAGAGACGCAAUAAAACUAGUAUGGGGAUAAUGAAGAGGAAGGAACCUGAGAAGGGAGAGGAGAAGAAGAGGGUUUGACGAUGACCAUGAAGUGCUGCAAGUCCCAGAAAUUGAGGGAGUACGCGGUAGACAUGAAAAGCUGGGCUACGCCCUUUGUAGCUCUUAGUGGCACUGCUGCCACAUAAACUUCAUCUUUGCCUCUUGUCAGUGUUGAUUUUGUGAAGGAAAGAGAAGACAUUUUAGAUACUGAAUACGGAAAUGAACCGUUAAAGUAGUUGAAAAAGAGAUGAGUUGAGUACAGUAAAGAGUAUCCACCCAAACAAGGUAAGGCCCCUAAUGGGCCUCCAAGAGUCAUAAAUAAACUAUUAUUAUCAUUGGUCUAUGUAUGUAUCAAUGUAUGGGUGGUGCCUGACUCGUUUGCUCGCAAUUCUCUAGAGAUGGUCUUGAAGAUGACUGAAAAUUAUAGCCUGAUUUCUUCUGAUGCAGACAGAAAAAUGGCAGUGUUUACACUUGAGGAAAUGACUGAUUUGAUGAAGUCAACACCAAUUGGCUCGGUUUAGGAAAGCGUUAAAUACAAAACUCGGUAUAGCCUGAUCAACUUAAUAAUUUAAUAUUGGCAUGACCAACCACUGAAUUAUAUUAAUGAUGGAUCUUUUUCAUACUUAAUGAACGUAUUAAUUUGGUUAUUUACAAUUGUUCUUAAAAUAGAAAAGUUUCUUUUGAUAUUUCUACUUCUAACAGAGUAGAAGAAAAGGAAAAUGAAAGUUGCAUUCUAAAAUUCUCAUUAAGUCUUCGAGUUGCUCGAAAUAGGAAGCAAUAGGAGGGAGAUCAAAUCAUACUAUUAAACCAGCAGAAUUUGUAAUAUAAAAGAUCGAGACUCACCAACUGUCAACACACUGCAUCACACUAUCAUGUAAUCAGAGACCACAUUUUAUGCUAAGUUAAAAUGCCCAAUGCUAGAAACAAAUGUGGCAAGUGAAAUUGGAUGAUAUUGUAAUUUCAUUUUUCCAGAUCAGGAAGUUGGAAACGGACUAUGACCAUGUAUGAGAUUUGUUGGUUUUAUGAUUCUAGACUUAGAGCGAGGCUCCAAAGGUAAUCACCUAUGAUUAGGGGUGGAACUAACCAAUUUUUAUUGAGGGGUCAAAGGCUAAGAAAAAUAAAAGUUAAAAAUUUUUAAAAUUAAUAUAUUAAACUUAAUCAUUAAUAAUCAAAAGAUUUAAAAUAAAUAAUAAUUUUAUAUAACAUGUAAAUAAAAAAAUUUUAUAAUAAUACUCUAGAAAAAUUUUGUUCGACGAUGGUAAUAUUUUUUUAAGUAUAAACAACUAAAUUAUUUAUAAAAAACUUAUCAUCAAUUUUGUUUCGAAGUCUUGUCUUUAUCGAUAUAAACGACUAAAAAAUUAAUUUAGUCAAUAUUUAAUAUUCUUAUUUUAUUAUAUUUAAGUUUAUAAUACAAAAUAUUAAACUAUAAUGCAUAAAAUAUAAAUAGUUAAAUAUGAUAUACAUAAUUAAUAAUUUUUUCUUAUACUCAAGAUAAUUUUCUUUCAACUAAAUAUAAAAUAUAAAGCACAUUAAAAACAUAUACUUAAGAUAAUUUUUUCUUAUAUAAUUAGGAUUAAUAAAAAAUAAUAUAUUAGUGAAAUUUUAAACAAUAACCAAUAAUACAACACUUGAACUUAUAUUUGAGAUUACAUAUACAAUAAUUAAUUUUUAAUUUUUAAAAAUUAAAAUCAUUAAAAAAAUCCAUAUAACAGAAAAAAAAUCAUGACAAGUAGGAGAUAUAAUUUAUAUAACAAAAAAAAUAUAAUUGAUGAUUUGUAAAAAUUUAAAACAAAAAAUCUAUAGAAACUUAAAAUAUAUGAGCAAAUAGAAUAUAAUUGAAAAAACUAAAAAAAUAUAAAUAAUAAUAGUAAUANACAGAAAAGAAAAGAGAGAAAGAUGAGUGGAGAAACUUAAAAAAUUUAAAAAAUUUAAGAAUUUGAGUAAAAUUGAAUGAGCUUGUAAAGUCAUUUUUAUUAUUUUUUAAUUAUAUUAAUUAUUUAAUAAAAAUUAUUAAAAAAUAUAUAAUAUAUAAAAAAUUUCAAAAUUUUUGGGAGGGCCAUUCCAAAGGGACGCUCCGCCCCUGCCUAUGAUCAUUAUCUUACCUGGCUAGAACGUCUAUGGUUUACGUUCUUAUCAUGUUAAAUUAAGUAUUAUAUGUAAUUGUCUAGUUUCUUAAAAUUAACAGACUACCUAAUAAGAAGGUCUACAAAUAAGCAUGAGGUCUUUUCCCAAAUCACGAAUACUGUUAGUCAAAAAACUAAGGUGAAAACCAAACUCUCUUCUUUCCAUAGAAAAACCACUCUCUUUUGUAAGACUAAGGUUUUUGUAUUGUCCAAUGGAUGGUUAUGCUUGAUUGUAGUAUAUAUCACCAUGGGUUUUUGGGAGCCAAUAAGCUCAUAAAACAUCCACAAUCAAGAUCUUAGAGUCACUCAUGAUCAGCAUUAGUAAAAUUAUUCUGUAAUUUUCUUAAUCUAUAUAUUUUUCCUACACCGAUAUCAUAGCUAAUUCAAGAAUUUUCAUGUUGUUUUGAUCUUUAGAAAACAUGAUUAACAUGCUAAAAAUCCUUAAUUAUGCCUUUGUUUCAUGAUUAUCUCGUUUUUAAAGCUCUUAUGAAAUGUUAAUGACAAUUAUAAAAAGGCAUGUUUCAGAGUAUCAUUUUUUCAUGAUAUGAUGCACAUAAUACCUAACAAAAUAUGAAAAUUUUGAGCAUUAUGUAAUGACUAAACAGGGAGAAUUACAAAACACUAAUCGUUUGACUUGAAACUUUGAUUGAUUUUUCUCUCUAUCAUCAAUGAAUUUUCACGUAUGAUUUUUAUAUAGAUGGAAUUCUUGUAUGAUAAGUAAUCCAUGAUAUAUUAUUUAUAUAAUUUGGAAUUGUGUGUCGAGACACAAUUAGAUAAUCAUGUUAUCGUGUAUCUGUAUAACUAGUGACUCAUUUAUAUAUUAAUAUUUUUAUGAUAAUUAAGAUUUAUUGAUAUUGAAUUUUAGGAUAUUUGAAAAAUAUUAUGAUAUUAAUAAUUUUUGUUGCAAAGUUGAAAAAUAGAAUUCUAUUUUACUUGUACAUAAUUUAAUUUAAUUGUUUUAAUCGUAUUAAUCCUGUGUUAACUGUAUCAAUCAUGUUAAUCGUGUAGACAAGUUAUAACUCGUAUAAAUUUUAAUCAUGUCGUGUCAUAUAAAAUUUAACUCAAUACGUUUAAUAAACAUAUUAGCUAUAUCGUGUCAUGUUACACGAUUAUUAAAUAUAUCCAUGUACGUGUUUAAGUGUCACAUCUCGUUGCCAAAUCAUGACCAGCGCGAAAGCGCAAUGGACAUAAACUUUCAUCACAAUAUUGGUGCCCCUGUCUAUGAACAACAAAAGAGGAUAUUGCAACUAAACAAAAUAGAACAAAACAAAAUAACCCAUUUGGUAUGGUACUGGUGCAGCUAGUGAAUACCUUAAAUUCCUACCAAGGUUGUCGAAAGAGGAUCCACCUCAGAGAUAAGCUCUAUCUAACUUGAGAUCUUAAAACAAAAAUAUGAGAUUUUUAAAAAGAGUGAGUACAAGAUACUCAGUUAAGGAUAAGGAAGGAAAUGAACAUUAACAGAAGAGUAUUUAAUAAACCAUGCCACUAGUUUGAAACUAUGCAAUUUUAUUUGAAAAUAUGAAACUAUGAAUGCACAUACUCAAAAUCCAUCAUAUUUUAUUUAUUAAACAUUGAUAUAAUCAUGUUCUGGAAAACCAAGGUCUUUAUGUCUCAAAUCAUAUGAAAAGGAAUAAUUUUUUUUCAAAAAUAGGGGAUAAGUAUCAAUACACCAAAAAACAAGCCUUGGGACUUCAUUCAAAAUCUGUAUGCUUUGGUGUUUUUCUCAUUUCAAAACUUUACCACACUUGAUCUAAUCACACAACUCAAUAAAUAUUCUAAUUUUCAACACAUUCAUACAACUUUAAAGUAAUGAAAAGCUUAAAAAAUAUAAAUUAAAUCAUCCAAGCAUCAUGAUUAAAAUUUAAUACACUAGUGGAGCAACUUAAAAAGUACAAAAUACAAACAUAUCACACAUGAUAAGUGGCCAACCCAUAUAGCUAGUGCACUCGGACCUACUGACUUCAAUAUCACUUUUGCCAUCCAUCGGCCACAAGGCUAGCGCCAGUUACCCCUUUUUCCCUUGCUAGCUAAGGUGGUCCUAUUCUGUACAAUAGUUAGCAGAACUACUGCUAUCCCAAGUCCUCACUUAAGUGCUCCACAUUGAAAACAUUUUCCCAUAAAUUUCCAUUUCCAACAUGAACAAAAAUAGUAUAUUUAUACCACACAUAUUAUUUCAUAAAGUAAAUUGAUUAUAGAACCAUAUAUGCUACUAACAUUUAAUGGCUCUCUAACAAAUUAAUAAUACUUCCAAUAUAAACAUAGUUGAAGGCAAAACAUACAAUACAAGGGCUCACGUCCCAUUCACAUUAUUUAUAGCAUUGAUCAUAACAUAAUAAAAACGUUACAUGCAUUUUUCUAAAAUAAAUUAACUAUGUAUCUUUCACCUUUUAUGUUACCUUGUAUAUGGAUACGGGUUCGGGUUUGGAUAAUUGGAUACCCAUGAAGAAUAUUUUAAUAAUUUUUUUACUAAUAAGGGUUUUUAAAUGGGUUAGGGUAAUUAUAAGAUAGUGAGAAUGUAUUAGGGUUAGGGUUAAGGCAGUAAAUUUUAAAAUUAUAUAGGUAGUUAAUAGGAUUCAGGUAUUUGAUUUUUUAUAGAAUUAGGGUUCAGGUACCUCAAAUUUAACGGGUACCCUACUCGUUGACAACCUUAGACACUUUUGGGCUUGGCUGCAAAGGAUUGAACAUUUUGUUCAAAAUGUAUUGAUACAUUUGUCUCGAUACUUUUGAGAUAGUGAGCAUUUGUAAAAUUUCUAUCGAUACAUUUUGAGAAUGUAUCGAUAGAUUGAGUUUAACUUUGCAAAUUUUGACUUUUUUCAAGAAAAUGUAUCGAUAUAUUUUUAUUUCUAUCGAUACUUGUCCAAAUGUAUCAAUACAUAAUGAACAUGUAUCGAUAUAUUUAGAUAAGAAAGUACUUUUUAAAGUCCUUUUUCAUUGUUCUUCUUUUCAAACUCAUUUGAGAGUACUAAAGAAUGUCUAGGCUUGAUUUAUCAAUACUUAAAGAUAAUUUUGGUCAUUUUUUUUGUCAUUUCAAAACAAGAGAUCAAUUUGAAAGUUACAGAGCUAACAUACAUUGAUACGCAAAACAACUUCAUUAGAGGUUUAAUUAGGCAAAAAAAUUGAUCUUAAAAGAUAUUUUCACUUGUCAUAUAGUUGUAGAUCCUUUGACAAAUUGAGUUAUGCUUAUGUGACACAUGUUAACUCUUUAGGACUUCAUAAAUGGUUCUUUUUAUUCAAUCUUUGUAUUCAACUUUUAAGAUAUUAAUAAUAUGUAUACAUUUUUUAUUCCAUAAAGAUGCAUUUAUGUCUAUAUAUUAAUUAGCACAAAAGAUGUAAAAAAUAUAUCAACAAGCUUGAGAUUGGCUUACUCACAUAAGAAAUCACUUAUGGCACCUUUAAAGGCAAGCAAAGAUGAAAGAUAAACUUCUAAUGCUUUAUAUAGCAAAUAGAGCUUGAAAUGUCAUCUUGAUUGGUUCUAAGUGUCUGUUUGGGCUGACUUUUUUUUAGCUUAUCUAUCUCUUAAAAGUAAAAGUCAAGCCAAACAGGAUUUUGAGAAACUCUUAAAAACAUAGCUUUUUUUAAAGAACAAAAUCUAAACAAAAAAAAAAAAAAAGCUUGAAGAAAAGUUCCAAAGAUGAGCAUUCUCUUCUCUUUUUUUAAAAACUCACCAGCUUUUUAGGAAAAUUUUUCUUUUUUUCCAAAAAUGUCUUCAUUUAUUAAAAAUAAUCUCAACAUUACCUUUUAUCGUAAUUUUAAUCAAAAUUAGAACUUAUAUAGGUUGUUUUGCCAAACAACUUAUCUAUAAAAAAAAAUUUAUAAAAAUAAAUUUACCAAACAGUUUUAGCUUAAUUUUAAAAAUUAUUAUUUUUCAUAAGAGCUUCAUAUAGCUCUUAAGCUAAAAAAAAGAAGUCAAGCCAAACAAACUCUAAGAUGAGGUCCAUUCAAUAAAUAAUAACUAAGGGACCAACAGUGGAUUAGCCCACAAUCCAGCCUAUACAGUAAGCUAGUUGUGAGACCUAAUUUAACGCCUAGAAUGGCGAACAAAUGGAGAAAUUAAGUUAAGGGUUGUUGAAGGGCAACUAGACUAAGAUUUGUACGAUGUUUUGGAGUUUGACAUACCGACAUAGAAAGAGACCUUCCACCAUGGCAUGUACUUCAUACUACAUGUGUCUUAUGAAUGACACAAGAGGUAGAAAAAUGGAUCCCUAUAUCUUCAUCAUGUGAGUUCUAAAGAGGUUAAUAAAACUUCAUUAUACCUUUUAUGACAUUUAACUAUGUCAUAAAGUGAGGAAUGGAUGUUUGUUACUUUAGUAUAUUAGCUAAGACCAUGGAUGAUUCGAUUAUACAGGACAUUAUUGGAAAAAUGGUUUUUCUAAAGUAAGUGGCAUGUGAAAGGGAUUCAAAUCAUGCUAAGGUGAUCAUACACAGCGGAAUAUUAUUACAAUUUUAAUCCCCUAAGCAUGGAUCACUUUAAUUGAAACUAAUCUAAAAAAAUCACAAGAGAAAGAUUAUGACAUACUUGAAAGUUUAAUGUCUGCUUUCUUCGGUGGAGUCUUCCUUGGCUUUUCAUUUUUUGACUUUUGUACAUCAACUAGGACUUAUCAAACUAUAGCAACACAAUUGUCCUGCCUCUAAUGGUGAUCCACACAAUGAUUUGCCGAAAUCUCUUCACUAAGAGUGUGUGAAUCACUAAGCCACAGUUUGUACUAGCAAACUCUCAACUUUGAGCUCUCUUGCGUUUCUCUCUUUUUGGCUAUGAUCUUUUCUCAACACAUAAGAAAUAAAACAGGACUCUUCUGUACGUUCAAGAAGAGGCUAAAGGAUUCUUUUGUAAAGUGAAUUGACUUACUUCAUAUCCAACAAGGAUUAAAAAAUGUCUAGGGCUAAUUGGGCCUUUAUUUAAUACUCCAUCAAAUCAUAUUUGAUUUAGCUCAAUACCUAAUUGGAUUAAGCCUUUAUAAAAUCAAUUAAAUCACAUCUAAUUGAACUCAAAUUAAUUUCUGUAAUUCAUCUUAUGUGUGUGACCCAUUAGGUACUCAACAUGUUAGUAAUAAAUAUAAAUUAAUUCAAUUAAAAAUUUAUAAUUACAUUUAUAGAUCAUCAGCAACAUCUAACAAUACAUCAUGACCACCCAAAUGCUAGGAAAGUCAAUAUGGUUUGACUAAUCUUUUAGUGUACAGUAUUUCAAUGUAAUUGAAUCUUUUCAUCAUAUAUCCCAAACAGACUUCUGACUCGGUGUCUACUUUCUAACUUAUCUUUAUUAGUCCUACACCUUCCAUAUUAACCUAUUGAGAUUGCCGUGGCCAAGGACUUUUAGUCAACAUAAGCUAUGAGCAAAUGAGAUAUGUCCCUUUCAAAUUAUUUGGGGUGAUGAAUCCUCUUUGGACUACUUAUUCACUUCGCAUGCUUCAUGCUAUACCCAAAAGCAUCUUGUUUAGGCAUCUGAUUGCCUUCAGACUCGUAGAGGUGAAAUUAAAGCAUGACAAUUCACAUACAAGAUGAUCUGGUAUCACAAGUUGAAGGAUUACUUACACUACUGAUACAAGAGAGUAUUUUCAUAGACACUUAAGUAAAAUACCAAAUGAAACUCUCAUAGCGGGUCAUAUUUAGUGAACUUGUUCCUUAACAAGUACCCAUAUAAUAUCUCCAAGUAUCUCGCAUACUUCAACCUGUGAGAUCAGUUGCUUACUUCCAAAAUAAGGAGGCUUAGCAUGUAUCAGCCUUUGAGCAUUAUCAAUGUCUUUUUUUUUUUACAAUACAAUGACCAAGAACAUAUUUAGGAAUAAGGCUUUGAUGCAUAAAAAUCUCUUAAUUGUAAUCUUUAUAAUUUCUUUGUAAGGCUAUUAUAUUCCAAGGAUUUUAUCUAUAUAAGUCUCUCAUAACUCUUUAUAAAUAAACUUAUGGAUAAAAAAAUACCUCAUACAUUAUAUAAAAUAUCCAUAAUGUAUUUAACAUAAAAUAUAACUAAUUAAUGUAACAUUUUACAAGUACAAAACGAUUGGCUUGUAAGGUUUACACUACCAACAUAAAGACAAAGGAUAGACUAUUUGAUACUGUAUCAAUGCAAUAUAUUUAAGGUUGACACAUGAUGUUGCUUCUGAGAGCUAUGAAAUAAUUGUAAAUAUGAGUUACAAAGUGAAAAAAGUUGAAGUAUGCUUAUCGAGGGAUUUGAGAUACUCAACUUAAUGUGAUCAAAUAAGUUUAGGGCAUACAAGAUACUAUAUUUUUAAAGAGAUGAUGGCUCUAUGCUAGCUCUAAGGAGGUUUUAGAAUAGAGCUCUCAAAAAUUCAAAUGAAGUACUAUCACGCAAUCAAUUAGCCAAUAUGAACUUGGCAAUGGGAGGCCGUGACAAGUCAUUUCCAUAUGCUUCUUUCGGAAAUAUGAACUUGGCAAUGGGACAAUUAAGAGAGUGGUUGGAGGACUUCGCCAUCAUCUGCACGCAGUAGAUGUUGAACUUUUUAGAAUAACACCCAUGAUAAUCACCCUAUUUGGAUAGGAAUAUACUUUACCAUUUUAUCUUGGUAAUGCAAACUGUAAGUAGGUAUAAGGUCUUUCAUUAAAAUAGAACUACAGCUAACCAAAAAAAAAAUUAAGGUGAAAACCAAAGUCUCCCUUCCUUAGAAAAAAAUCAAUCUCAAGGUUUUUAUAUUAUGAAAAGUGUGUUUCUUGCUUGAUUUUAGAGUAAUUUUUCACCUCGAGUUUUUAGGGAUCAAUAGGUUCAUAAAAUGUCCAAAAUCAGAAUUCUGAAAUAACUUUGCAUUACUAUUGAAAAAGUCGAAGCCUGGUACAAGUUUAAUCAAAGUAAAAUUAUUUCUUAAUUUUUAUAAAUCCGUAUAUUUUUCCUACAAACUAAAAAUUAAAUCAUUUAAAGAACCAAUCCUGAUCUCGGAUUUUGGGUAUACUUGAGCAAUUGGAUGAAAUUGGACAGAGGACAAUUGUUGAACAAAAGAUACUAGGACUUAUUAUUAUCAAGACAACACGCACACUGCCUCUUCUAAUAAACAAACAAGCAAAAUAAUAAAUUUAAGCAACUUGCUUGGGACCAAGAACCAUCCCUUAAGAGAGAACAGAUGAGCAUAAAAACCCCCCCAAUGCAACUUUAACACUGUGCCACAUGCCAAUGUAUAUUUAGCCACAUGGCAAGUUGUCAUUGGUUGGUCAUUUCCAUUCCCCGGUCCCAAGCCUCACCCACAUGACACCAUCCUUAUUGUAACUACAUAGAAACUAAUUGACUUGACAUGCAAACUUAGCUAACAGUAGCCACUAGACAGACUUCCAUUGAUGAUUGAUCUGUAUCUCACAAGCUUAUUACUCAGUCUUCUCAGCUGGGGCUUCUGUUUCAACCUUCUCCUCAGCUUCAGCUGGUUUUUCUUCUUCCUUAGCAACUUCCUCUUUGGGUGCUUCAACUGGGGCCUCUGCUUCUGGUUCUGCUGCUGCCGCUUCGCCAGACUCCGUAGUUUCUUUGGUUUCUUCAGCAGGUUGCUCAGUGGUCUCCUUGCUCUCCUCGACAACUACUGGCUCCGGUACUGUUUCCUUAGGAGUGUCCUCUUCUUUUUUCUCAACCUCUGGCUCCUCAGUGACAACCUUGGCCUCUUCUACCACCUCCUUGGUUUCAACUUUGGUCGAGGCUUCAGGCUCCGGAGCCACGGGUUGUUCAGAUGCUGCUUCAGGCUCUGCUUCCUUUGGCUCUUCAGCAACAGGUUCCGUUGCAGGAGCUACGGCGGCUACCUCUUCUGUUGUAGUUUCUUGAACCUUGAUUGAUUCUUCAGUUUUCUCCUCAUGAAGUGCAGUUUGAACUGAUGCAACCUAUAGAACACAUCAAGUAAGAAAACAUACUUAUUACUGAAUUGAUUAUUGGGCGAUCAGAAUCAUUUGCCACUUAAGUGAAGAGUCAGAAAUGUGAAUUGGAUACAAACAGUCUUGUAAAUCUUGUUUGAACUAAGCUUUUUAGUAUAGUGAUCAGCUAGUAACUAUUACAAGUGAUUGCAUUAUAUCCUUGUCUUACUGUAUAUAAAGAGAAUCAAGUUUCUAAAAGAUGAAGUCUAACAAAAUACGUAGCGCAAAAAGGGAUUUCAAUAACGAAUAUUAAGAUCAUAAUCGUUUGACUUGAUCUUCAUUUUCACUAUUCCAAUCAGCUCCAUCCUUAAAACUAGAUCAGGUGACAAAUGGUAUAAAACUAGGUGCAUAGAUGAGCUAAUGAACGCAAAUGAAUUGAAAAACCAAUCUCAAAUGGAGAACUUAAUAAGAAUUCAAUACCUCAGCAGCAG